UUUUUUCUUUUUUUCUUUUCGGUGGGAUUCUUUGGCCUCUUUUAUUUUAUCUUGGCUUCUUUGGCCUCUUUUAUUUUUCAUAAAGUCCGUAGACUCAUCCCAACUUGUGAGGGAAUCAUAGCUUCCAUCAUCCUUUCCUCACAUGAGACAAUGCUCUAAUAAUGAUGAUCAUCACACUUUUAUUUACUUACAACUCAAGAAUUACAACUCGAUACUUAGAACAAAAUAUGACUCUAUAUGAAUGCUUCCGGUGGUGUACCGGGAUGUGCAAUGAUCUAGUGUAGCAAAUGAGAUCAAAAAACGGACAAGCCAUGAAAACAUCAUGCUAGCUAUCUUAUGAUCAUGCAAAGAAAUAUGACAAUGAUGGUAUGUGUCAUAAUAAAACGGAACGGUGGAAGUUGCAUGGCAAUAUAUCUUGGAAUGGCUAUGGAAAUGCCAUAAUAGGUAGGUAUGGUGGCUAUUUUUAGGAAGGUAUAUUGUGGGUUUAAUGCACCGGCGAAAGUUGCGCGACACUAGAGAGGCUAGCAAUGGUGGAAGGGUGAGAGUGCGUAUAAUCCAUGGACUCAACAUUAGUCAUAAAGAACUCACAUACUUAUUGCAAAAGUUUAGAAGCUAUGGAAACAAAGUAUCUGAUGCAUGGUCCUAGGGGGAUAGAUUGGUAGGAAAAGACAAUCGCUUGUCCCCGACCGUCACUCAUAGGGAAGACAAUCAAUAAAUAAAUCAUGCUCCGACUUCAUCACAUAACGGUGCACCAUACGUGCAUGCUACAUGAAUCACAAAAUUUAACAUAAGUAUUUCUACCAAUCCACAAUUACUCACUAGCAUGAUCUAAUAUCACCAUCUUUAUAUCUGAAAACAAUCAUAAGGAAUCACACUUCUCAUAGUAUUCAAUGCACUUUAUAUGAAAGUUUUUAUUAUAUCCCUCUUGGAUGCCCAUCAUAUUAGGACUAAAUUCAUAACCAAAGCAAAUUACCAUGAUUUUUAAAGACUCUCAAAAUAGUAUAAGUGAAUCAUGAUAGUUCAACAAUUUCUAUAAAAUAAAAUCACCGCCAUGCUCUAAAAAGAUAUACGUGAAGCACUAGAGCAAAUUGCCUAGCUCAAAAGAUAUAAGUGAAGCACGUAGAGUAUUCUAAUAAAUUCACGAUUUAAGCGUGUCCCUCUCAAAAGGUGUGUACAGCAAGGAUGAUUGUGUCAAACUAAAAAGCAAGAACUCAUAUCACACAAGGCGCUCCAAGCAAAACACAUAUCAUGGUGAGUAAAAAUAUAGCCUCAAGUAAAUUUACCGAUGGAUUGAAGACAAAAGAGGGGAUGCCUUCCGGGGCAUCCCCAAGCUUAGAUGCUUGGUUGUCCUUGAAUAUUACCUUGGGGUGCCUUGGGCAUCCCCAAGCUUGAGCUCUUGCCACUCCGUAUUCCAUAGUCCAUCAAAUCUUUACCCAAAACUUUAAAACUUCACAACACAAAACUCAAUAGAAAACUCAUGAGAUCCGUUAGUAUAAGAAAAUAAAUCACCACUUUUGGUACUGUUAUGAACAUAUUCUUUACUUAUAUUGGUGUAAUAUCUACUAUAUUCCAACUUCUCCAUGGUUCCUACCCCUCGAUACUACCCAUAGAUUCAUCAAAAUAAGCAAACAACACAUACAAAAUAGAAUAUGUCAAAAGCAGAACAAUCUGUAGUAAUCUGUGAACUUCGUAUACUUCUGUAACUCCAAAAAUUCUGAAAAAUUAGGACAACAGUGGUAAUUCAUAUAUCAAUCUUGUGUAAAAAUUAGAAUUUUAUCACGCUUCUGUGAUUUUUAACAAUUCUGGCAAUGAGCGCAAAAGUUUCUGUUUUUCAGCAAGAUCAAAUCAACGAUAUACCAAAGUAUCCAAAUGGCUUUACUUGGCUCAAACACUAAUUAAAGACACCAAAAUACAAUUACUACAGAGGUAAUAAUGUGUAUUUAUUCAAGAAUAGAAGCAAAAACUAAAUAAAAUUGGGUUGCCUCCCAACAAGCGCUAUUGUUUACCGCCCCUAGCUAGGCAUAAAACAUAGAUCUAGGUAUUGUCAUCUUUGGUAUGCAAUUCCUCAAUUGCACAUUUAUAGUCCCUAGGGGCUUCUUUAGUUUUUGUUGGUGUUCUGGGAACGGGGGUCCCCAGACUUGCCUGCCUGCGGCCCACGGCGUGGCUCUGCGAGCGGGCCCGUACGGACCAUCUUCACCAACAAACACUCAAGACCCUCGCGAGGGGCCAAGCCUCGCGAGGCGGACGACACAAGACCUCCUCGGGAGCGGCCCCCAGGCUGGCUCGCGAGGGGUGGAGAGAUCAAGGCAAGGCAAACCUCGCGAGCUUCUCGUGACGUGAGCCAUGACGAUCAAGAUCAGGCGGGCGCCAGCGCGCAUAGUGUCCUUGUUUCCUCUUUGUUGCUAAGGAAGCAAGCGCAGGCGAGGAGUGCCGAGGCGUCAAGCAAAGGUUUCCAUAUCGGUGCAACGAGACCAAGACCAGCAGAACGACAAGACGGAGGUCACCAUGGAGCCCAAGGUAGCGUCACCACCAGAGCCUUUUGCAGGCGAAGACUGCUUUUGUCAGGAUAAGCUGUACUAGCUGUCCCCUUUCAAAUUGGCCGUUGUUGGCUCCCUUCCCACUCAAUAUUUGGGGAGAGGACUAGGGCCACUAUAAAUAGGGCUAGGCACCACCGUAGGAGGCAUCAGAUCUCGACUGGAUCGAAUCCUCACCCACACAAGUUCACCAAGCACAAGAACACCUCAACCUUAGGAGGCCGUUCUUCCCUUGUACUGUUCAUCCUCAGCCCGAGAGGCAAUCCACCACCACCACACUAGAGUAGGGUAUUACACCUCAGCGGUGGCCCAAACCAGUAUAAAUCUUGUGUCGCUUGUGUUGCGAGUUCGUCGAGUUAGUCCUUGAGAUCUUAGCAAAGCAAGGACGUGGAUCGCUAGGGGAAGAUCUUCGUGCGCACCCCAGUGUUCGAACCUUGAGGGUUUUGCCGGAACUCGUGAUCCGACAUUUGGCACUCGAGGUAGGGGGUGCGCCGUAGCCUUCCUUCCAUCAAUCUGCGCUCCGCCACCACUGCGCUCUGCCCUCAUGGCAGGCGCCUCGCUCCCGGCUCCGACGGCCGGCGCUGAUGAUGGGGUCAGGGGGCUCUGAGCCCUGGUCCCCGCCGUGCGGCAGGUGCGGUGGCCGCUUAAGUUCAAGCCGGAGAUGCCGUCGUGCUACGACGGCGCGGCGGACGCGUCAGCUUUCCUGCUGGCAUACGAGGAGGCCGUCCUCGAGGCCGGUGGUGACGACAAGGUCAUGGCUAACUGGUUUCCCAUGGCCCUCACUGGCGCGCCGCGCGCCUGGAUGCUCAACCUCCCCGGAUCCAUGGUGGCAUCUUGGGAGGAGCUGCGCGACCUCUUCACUGCGCGCUACGCGGCAUCGACGCACCACGCGGUCGCGGCCCUACUAGGCGGCUCCCAAGCACCGCCUUCAGAUCGCCAUAUCAAGCCAUUCCUUCGCCAGAUCGGUGCCGCUUCCAAGCGCUCGGGGGCUACGCCGGGCUGGGCUGCGCCCGAGGCCGACCUCACCUUCAAAUCAGAAGACCACCCCGUCACCACCGCCGGCUCGGGUAUGCUACCGAUGCUUUGCACGCCCACCAUCUGCAACGUGGCCGUCACCAAGACCCUCAUCGACGGCGGCGCCGGCCUCAACGUGCUCUCCAUCGAGACUUCAGCCUUUUGCAUGUAUCGCUCGAGCGGCUCAGCCUUAGCAAGCCUUUCUCAGGAGUUGGCGGUGGCACCGCCCACUCCCUGGGGCAGAUCCGCCUCCCGGUCACCUUCGGCACGCGCGACAACUACCGCACCGAGCUGGUCGACUUCGACAUCGCCCGCAUCGGCCUCCCGUAAAACUCCAUCCUCAGGUACCCAGCUUUGGCCCAAUUCAUGGUAGCAACCCAUCCGGCAUACAACCUCAUGAAGAUGCCUGGAAGCAAGGGUGUCCUCACCAUCAAGGGGGACGCCAUGGAGGCCAUGGCGGUGCUCAAGCUUGCCCUCAAGACCGCCACAGCAGCACAGCCCGUCGGCGCGGGCGCCUCCAAGGCCAAGGGGGCCGCACAAACCAAGAAGAAACGGCUGUUCACCCAAGACAAGGCAGAAACAAAGCAGGUGCCAGUCGAUGAGGACGGGUCCUCUGGAGCCACCUUUACCAUAGGUGCCAACCUCGACCCAAGCCAGGAGGAAGCGUUGGUGAAGUUCUUGCGCGCAAACAAGGAGAUAGUCGCAUGGGAACCCAAGCAGCUGAUGGGAGUCCCAAGAGAGGUGAUUCAGCAUCACUUAAGGGUGUGCCCCAUGUACGCCCUGUGAAGCAGCGGGCGCGACAGCAGUCCACGGAGAAGCAUGCCUUCAUCGUCCAAGAAACCCGCAAGUUAGAGGCGGCGGGUGCCAUUCGCAACGUCCGGUACCCCAAAUGGCUGACAAACCCCGUCGUUGUGCCGAAGAAAGGCGGGAAGGAGUGAAUGUGCGUCGACUUCACCAACCUCAACAAGGCCUGCCCCCAAGAUCCGUUCCCGCUCCCACGCAUCGACCAGAUCGUUGACUCCACCGCCGAGUGCGACCUGCUGUGCUUCCUGGAUGUGUUCUCAGGGUAUCACCAGAUCAAGAUGGCGGUAGAAGAUGUAGAGAAGACAGCCUUCCUGACCACGUGCGGGGUAUAUUGCUACACUUGCAUGCCUUUCGGACUGCGUAACGCGGGCGCAACCUUUCAGCGGCUGAUGCACAUCGCCUUAGGGCGACAGCUCGGGAGAAACGCGGAGGCCUACGUCGACGACAUUGUGGUGAAAUCUCGGGAGGCCAAAACCUUGAUCCAAGAUCUGGAGGAGACCUUCGCGAGCCUAAGCCAGGUGAACUUGCGACUUAACCCGGAGAAGUGUGUGUUUGGUGUCCCUUCCGGCAAGUUGCUGGGUUUCCUCGUAUCCCACAGAGGGAUCGAGGUGAACCCAAAAAAGAUCAAGGCUAUUGAAGACAUGAGCCCACCGCAGACCCUCAAGGAAAUGUAGAAGCUGGCUGGUCGGGUGAGUGCGUUGGGGCGCUUCAUCUCCAAGCUAGGAGAGCACGCCCUACCCUUCAAGCUGUUGAAGAAGAAGAGCCCAUUCGAGUGGACCCCGGAGGCCGACCGAGCAUUCCAACACCUCAAGAGAUACCUGACCAGUCCUCCAGUGAUGGUGGCUCCACGACCUCUAGAGCCCCUAGUGCUUUAUCUUGCCGCCACUCCGUACUCCGCCAGCGUGGCUCUGGUGGCGGUUCAGGAAGAGCACCAAGCCAAAGGCGCGUUACGACGAGCCACGCCAUCAGCCGGACUGACGCGAGAUCAGGUAGACCCCGCAAGAGCCGUAGAAGCGUCGGCAGAAGACCAAGCUCGGCAGGACGCCGCCGCCAAGGUCCCUACAAGAGAUCAAGUGUUGGAGGUUCCGCUACCUCAGGAGACACCCCAACUUCCGCAAGACACGAGCCUCACCACCGCUCCAGCUCUCGUCAAGCACCCGGUGUAUUUCGUCAGCACGGUGUUGCAGGACGCAAGGGCACGAUAUCCCAUGCCUCAGAAGCUCUUACUCGUGCUCUUGGUGGCCUCGUGUAAGUUGCGACACUACUUCCAGGGCCACCCCAUCAAGGUCGUCUCGGCCUACCCAUUGGAGAGAGUGCUCAGGAGCCCCAACUCUGUUGGAAGGGUCGCUGAGUGGAACAUCGAGCUGCAGGCAUUCUAGUUGGAGUUCAGCACUACCAGGGUCAUCAAGGGAGCCGCGCUCGCUGAUUUCGUGGCAGAAUGGACGGAUGCCCCGACUCUUGAAGUAGGUGAGGACCAGUCCACCUCGCCGGGAAGUGAGGCGCCUGAGGAUGGGUCAUGUAUUUCGAUGGCGCCUUCGCGCACUAGGGCGCGGGGGCUGGAGCAGUACUCAUCUCGCCCACUCAAGAAAAGCUCUACUACGCCGUGCAGCUCUGCUUUCAGCGGGGCGAGAAGGUCUCAAACAACAUCACAGAGUACGAAGGCCUCAUAGCUGGCCUGAAAGCUGCAGCAGCUCUGGGGGUGAAGCGCCUCACCGUUAGGGGCGACUCGCAGCUCCUCGUCAACUUCUCCAACAAGGUAUACGAGCCGAAGGAUGAGCACAUGGAGGCAUACCUCGUGGAGGUGCGCAAGAUGGAGAAGAAGUUCCUGGGCCUAGAGUUGCAGCACGUGCCCUGUGGCACCAACAAGGAGGCUGACGAUAUUGCCAGGAGGGCAUCCAAGCGACAGCCCCAAGAGCCUGGCAUCUUCGAGGAGUGGCUCUUCAAGCCAUCAGUGGCACCACCACUCUCAAGGACGGCUCAGCCUCGGGAGGAACUCCCGCAGCCGCCUGCCACAGGGGCCCCAGCCUGUGGCCCGACUUCGGGAGCGCGCCUACUCUUGGCACUCGAGCCUCAGGAGGGAUGCUAGACCAAGGAGUUCAAGGAAUACCUGAUGCAAGGGACGCUGCCGGAGAAGGAGGAGGACGUGGAGCGCGUGGCCCGGCAAGCCACGACGUACGGCAUCCGGGACGGUGAGUUAUACAGGAAGCGACCAAAUGACGUUUCAUUGCGUUGCAUCUCCAGAGACUAGGGGAAGGAGUUGCUAUCCGACAUACAUAGUGGGGACUGCGGGCACCACUCAUCAUCACGGACCCUCGUCGGCAAGGCAUUCCGCAGCGGAUUCUAUUGGCCCACGGCGUUCAACGACGCAGCCGAGCUGGUGAAGUCCUGUGAAGCCUGCCAGUUCCACGCCAAGCAGACCCAUCAGCCGGCUCAGCGCCUCCAGACUAUCCCACUCACAUGGCCGUUCGCGGUCUGGGGGCUGGAUAUCUUGGGCCCAUUCCCUCGAGCGCCUGGGGGCUACCGCUACCUCUACGUCGCCAUCGACAAGUUCACCAAGUGGGAGGAAGUGGAAGCCGUCCGCACCAUCCCAGCUGGCUCCGCAGUCAAGUUCAUCAAGGGUCUCGUGAGCCGUUCGGGGUCCCCAACCGCAUCAUCACUGAUAAUGGCUCACAGUUCACUAGUAAUCUCUUCAAGACAUACUGUGCUAACCUUGGAACGUAGAUCUGCUACGCUUCGGUGGCGCACCCCAGGAGCAACGGUCAGGCCGAACGCGCCAACGCAGAGGUCCUGAGGGGCCUCAAGACCAGGACCUUCAAGAAGAAGCUCGAGGCCUGCGGCAGGGGCUGGUACAACGAGCUCCAGUCCGUGCUAUGGUCUAUACGCACCACCGCCACCAAGCCAACGGGCGAGACCCGUUCUUCCUCGUCUACGGAGCUGAAGCGGUCCUCCCUCACGAGGUCAAGCAUCGCUCCGCACGGGUCCUGGCAUUUGAUGAAGCGCAACAGGACGCCAUGCGGGGGAUGGACCUCGUGCUGGGGGAGGAACACCGCCGCGAAGCCGCACUACGGGCGGCAAGGUAUCAGCAGGCGUUGCGGCGAUACCACUGCCGCAACAUCCGCUCCAGGACGCUCGAGGCGGGUGACCUCGUCCUGAGGCGGGUCCUCUCCAGGGAAGGGCUGCAUAAGCUCUCACCCAUGUGGGAGGGCCCGUUCAAGGUCGUCCAUGUCUCCAGGCCUAGCGCCGCGCGCCUGGAGACACAGGACGGGGUACCCAUCCAGAACACCUGGAACAUCCAGCACUUCCGGAAGUUCUACCCAUGAAGAAGGCCCAGUGCCUGUGAAGAAAGGCCCAGUGCCUGUGAAGAAGGCCCGGUGCCUGUGAAGAUCGCCGCCCGUGACACUCUCACGUAAUAACGAGUGGGGCUGUACACGCCCCGGAGUCUCAGGAGUGCCGCCCUCGGGCCUCGGGGGCUCCCUCCCACGUCCAAGUGUUAGCACUUAGCUCCGCGCUGGUGAGAAUACUUGAAGACUAGACUAGGUGCCGGACGCGGCUUUUCAUUUGCUUUUCGCAGUUGGCUCGCCUCAUUUUAAUUGAAAGUUUUCUUCUGGAGUUCCUUGUUAGUUUGGUUCGUCGCUUUUUGCUGCUGUUUCCGGUUCCAGUUUAACCUGUUUUCUCUCUCUCGCAUACCUCGUGAGGGGGCUAGGCAGGCGCCCUCACGAGCGUUUUUCCUUUCCUCUGCCCUUCGUCUGUUUUUUCGCGAGGCACCCUCGUUCGAGCCCACAAGCUGGCGCUCACCUCUUGAUCCGUGACCCUUGGGUAUCGCGAUACGAAGCACCGGGCCAAGGCUCGGGUGAACGAUAAGCCUCCCAGCGAUGCUCCUAACAAGUUUUUUGCAGUUCCCUAGCACCCGCCGAAUCAAGGAAGGCCUCCAUAGGCACCAGGAAGUGAGUCCCUCGCGAAGAGGAGGCUACCCCAAGCGUGCCAAGCUAAGUUACCUCUACACAAAAUAAUGACACAGCAUGGAAACAACAAACAUAGCAUAAUGAUUGGGAAAUCAUAGUUCGAUACACGCCCCUCCGGGGCCCAUACUGGUUUCUUUUGAUGCAGAAAGGAAAGGAAGAACAAAAUAAAGCGAUGCUUGCCCCUACAGCGGUCCACGGAUGCAGGCUCCUGGCGCCGUCCUGAGCUCAGCCAGACCCCUCCUCGCGCUUCACGGAGGCGCGGCGACAAGAUGAUCCACUACCGCCUUCGAAGCGAGCGCGGCGGCUGGUCGUAGUCACCGCUGCUGUUGCUGUCGCCGGGGGAAGAGCCACCGUAGCUUGAUGAGACGCGGUCGGCACUAAGGGCGGGUUCGCCCUCAUCCUCGUCUCAACCAUCGCCAAGGCCGAGCACCUCCUCGCCGUCGUUCACCUCGGGGCAGCACCCGAAGCGGCGACCAUCUUCCCCAAACACUCUCACGUAGAUGGUCGCAUCACCGUCGUACCUGAAAUGGAGGGUGCACCGCCUGCCCAGGCCGCGCGCGCGCGGGGGCAAACAUCUGCCAACCGCGGGCCAGAGCUAUGUUGCCCGCGACGGAGACCUCAACCGCAACCCAAGAAGCUCUGCUGCAGCAACCGUCCGCCUGCAGCCAGAGCCUGCCUUGACCGGAGGCUGGCAGCUCGUUGGCGAUGAAGCGCGGGAGCUGAAGCCAGUUGCCGGCCGGGUCCUCCGACCAAAUGACGAACUCCGGCAACACCUCCACCGAGUGGAAGCGCGGCUGGGGAGGCCGUGCAACCAUGGCGCGUCUACCUUCGCCGACAGGGCAACCACGACUGGAACGACCCCUGCGACACGAAGCGGCGCCACCACGGGAACGGGGGGCCGCGACGGGGGUCACGGUGUGCUUGCGGGGACGGCCACGUCCACGCUUGGGCACCGGGGAGCCGGGCCCCUCGCGAGGGGCCUUUUACUUCUCCGCGGCAGAGAACCUCUUCGAUGGUGCCAUCAGUGUCGGCGGUGGAGCAGAGGAGGAAGAAGCAAGCGGAACGGGAAGAGAUGGGCAACGGGGGCUCGGCCCCCUCCUCAUUUAUAGUAGGAGAAGGCCAACCAGCGCCCCCCACGAUCACAGGUAAUGAUGGUUUUCCUUGCAUGUCACAGGGACUUGUCCAGUCGGGCAGUUGCCGAGGCAGCGUGGGGAAGCGGAGACGCCCACAUCCAAUCAACCGCCACGCGUCAACCAAGGCCGCAGGCUAUUGGGGCCCGCGGCACUCCGCACUUGACAUUUGGCUUCACCUCGAAGCCAAGCCCGAGCGCGCCUUGGGCCCGGGGGCUAGUCGGCGUUCUGGGAACAGGGGUCCCCAGACUUGCCUGCCUGCGGCCCAUGGCGUGGCUUUGCGAGCGGGCCCGUACGGCCCAUUUCACCAACAAACACUCAAGAACCUCGCAAGGGGCCAAGCCUCGCGAGGCGGACGACACAAGACCUCCUCGGGAGCGGCCCCCCAGGCUGGCUCGCGAGGGGCAGAGAGAUCAAGGGAAGGCAAACCUCGCGAGCUUCUCGUGAUGUGAGCCAUUACGAUCAAGAUCAGGCGGCCGCCAGGCGGGCGCCAGCGCGCACAGUGUCCUUGUCUCCUCUUUGGUGCUAAGGAAGCAAGCGCACGCGAGGAGUACCGAGGCGUCAAGCAAAGGUUUCCAUAUCGGUGCAAUGAGACCAAGACCAGCAGGACGGCAAGACGGAGGUCACCAUGGAGCCCAAGGCGGCGUGACCACGAGAGCCUUUUGCAGGCGAAGACUUCUUUUGUCAGGAUAAGCUGUACUAGCUGUCCCCUUUCAAAUUGGCCGUUGUUGGCUCCCUUCCCGCUUAAUAUUUGGGGAGAGGACCAGGGCCACUAUAAAUAGGGCUAGCCACCACCGUAGGAGGCAUCGGAUCUCGACUGGAUCGAAUCCUCACCCACACAAGUUCACCAAGCACAAGAACACCUCAACCUCAGGAGGCCGUUCUUCCCCUUGUAUUGUUCAUCCUCAGCCCGAGAGGCAGUCCACCACCACCACCACACUGGAGUAGGGUAUUACACCUCAACGGUGGACCGAAGCAGUAUAAAUCUUGUGUCCCUUGUGUUGCGAGUUCGUCGAGUUAGUCCUUGAGAUCUUAACAAAGCUAGGACGUGGAUCAGUAGGGGAAGAUCUUCGUGCGCACCCCAGUGUUCAAACCUUGAGGGUUUUUCCGGAACCCGUGAUCCGACAGUUUUAUUGAAGAUCACACUCCUAGGCAAGAAUUCAAGAAAUUCACUCGUAGCAAUUGGUUCCUUAAUAAUGUUGAUAAAAUUAGGGUGAACACUUAUCAUCUUAAGAUCCUCGUCUCCCUUAAUAGAAGUUUCACCCUUAUUCUUAGGAACAUAAUAAUACUUGGCAGCCUUUGUAGGAGGAAAAUUGGGAGUAGUUUUAAUAGAAGCAAAAUCGGAACCCAUGUUGGUAAUAAUUUCUUCUAGCUUGCCAAUUCUGGUAGAAUCUUGAUCUAUCUUUUCAUUAACUAUGGGUUCUUUUUCCUUUAAAUUCUUCAAAGUGACUCCUACUUUUGAUGCAUAUUGAGUAAUAUGAUUAUGAAUCUUUUUAUCCAAGUUCUCAAUAUGCUCUAUGGUAGAAAUUUUAUUCUCAAUAAUAUCAAGUCUUUGCAUCAUAUGUUCUAAAGUCAAAACAAUUUCAUUAAUCAUAAGAGGUGGUGAGCCUACCAAAUCAAUCAUAGCAUUAUAAGCAUCCAAGGUGUAGCUCCCCGAGAAAUUUCCCCCGGCAAUGGUAUCUAGAACAUAUCUAUUCCAAGGAGUAACACCCACAUAAAAAUUGCGAAGGAGAACGAUAGUAGACUGCUUACGGGUAGAUCUAUUUUCAGCAUUGCAAAUUCUAUACCAAGCAUCUUUUAAAUUUUCUCCCUCCCUUUGCUUAAAACUAAGAACUUCAAUCUCGGGAGUACUAGCAAUGGUGGAAAGACUAGCCAUGAAAGCAAAUCAAGCAAUCUUGCACACGAGCAACCAAAAAGCAAACGACAAGAAGAACGGUAGAAGGGCGAAUAAAAAGGCAAAUCUUUUUGUAUUUUUCUGAAAAGGUUUUAGAGGUGGGGAGAGGAAAACAAGAGGCAAAUGGCAAAUAAUGUAAUGCAAUAGAUGAGUGUUUAUGAUGGGUACUUGGUAGGCUUGAUGUAGAUCUCCCCGGCAAGAGCGCCAGAAAUUCUUCGUGCCACUUCUUCAGCUUGUGUUGGUUUUUCCCCUGAAGAGGAAAGAGUGAUGCAGCGAAGUAGAGAUAAGUAUUUCCCUCAGUUAAGAACCAAGGUAUCAAUCUAGUAGGAGAUACAAGCAAGUCCCUAAUCUAUCCACCUGCACAAACAAUCAAACACUUGCACCCAACACGAUAAAGGGGUUGUCAAUCCCUUCACGGUCACUUGCAAAGGUGUCUAAUAGAGAUAGAUGUAGAAUAUUACUAAAACGUAAAAUGAAAUAAAAUAAAAGUAAAUAAAUUUCAGCGAAGUAUUUUUGGUUUUUUUGGUUCAUAGAUCUGAAAAUAUAAUAUGGAAAAUAGACCCGGGGGCCAUAGGUUUCACUAGAGGCUUCUGUCUUGAAAGAAAAUAAUACUGUGGGUGAACAAAUUACUGUCGAGCAAUUGAUAGAAGCAAAUUAUGACGAUAUCCAAGGCAAUGAUUAUGCAUAUAGGCAUCACGUCCAUGUCAAGUAGACCGAAAUGAUUCUGCAUCUACUACUAUUACUCCACACAUCGACCACUAUCCCGCAUGCAUCUAGAGUAUUAAGUUCAUAAGAACAGAGUAAUGCCUUAAGUAAGAUGACAUGAUGUAGAGGGAUAAACUCAAGCAAUAUGAUGAAAACCCCAUCUUUUUACCCUUGAUGGCAACAAUACAAAUAUGUGCCUCGCUACCCCUACUUUGGCACUGGGUGAGGACACCGCAAGAUUGAACCCAAAACUAAGCACCUCUCCCAUUGCAAGAAAUACCAAUCUAGUUGGCCAAACCAAACCGAUAAUUUGAAGAGAAAGACAAAGAUAUCAAAUCAUGCAUAUAAUAAUUCAGAGGAGAUUCAAAUAAUAUUCAUAGAUAAUCUGGUCAUAAAUCCACAAUUCAUCGGAUCUCGACAAACACACCGCAAAAGAAGAUUACAUCGGAUAGAUCUCCAAAACAUUGAGGAGAACUUGGUAUUGAGGAUCAAAGAGAGAGAAGAAUCCAUCUAGCUACUAGCUAUGGACCCGUAGGUCUGAGGUAAACUACUGACGCUUCAUCGAAAGGGCAAUAGGGUUGACGUAAUAGCCCUCCAUGAUCGAAUCCCCCUGCCGCAGGGUGCCGGAAAAGGCCCCAAGAUGGGAUCUCACGGGUACAGAAGGUUAAGGCGGCGGAAAAGUUUUUUGGUGGACGCUUCUGGUCGUUGGGAAUAUUUCUGAAUUUAUAGGCCAAAGAUUAUGGUUGGAGGACUCCCGUGGGAUCCACAAGCCAGGGGCGCCCCCUAGGGUGUGCCCUGAGGGCUUGUGGUGCCCUCGGGACUCUUCUGCCUUCCUCUCCAUGUCCUACUUGUGUCUUCUGGUCCAAGAAAAAUCAUUGCGAAAGUUUUAUUCCCUCUUGACUCCGUUUGAUAUAUCUUUUCUGUAAAACUCAAAAACAAGGAAAAAAAUAGAAACUGGCACUGGGCUCUGGGUUAAUAAUUUAGUCCCAAAAAUAAUAUAAAAUAGCAUAUUAAUGCAUAUAAAACAUCUAAAAUAGAUAAUAUAAUAGCAUGGAACAAUCAAAAACUAUAAAUACGUUGGAGACGUAUAAGAGGGGUAUAUAUAGCCUCCACAAAAAUCCAAUCGUUACACACUUUUGACUCAUCUUGGUGGCACCGAUUAGAAAACUCGGUGGCACCGAUAUGUUCAAAAAUAUGAACGUUAGGAAUCUCAAUGGGACUGACUGAAACAAGUUGGUGGGACCGAUGUGCUAGGUCUUAGGGCAAACAUCAUCUCCGUGGUGCCGAUUGCACCAACUCGGUGGGACCGAAGUGAAGCAAUAAGCAAUAGAGAAUAUAUGAAGCCAACUCGGUGAGGCCGAUGGCAUAAACUCGAUGGGACCUAAGCGAAUGCAAUAGAUCAUAGAGCGCUGGUAAGGCCAUCUCGGUGGGGCCGAGAUCCGUAUCGGUGUGACCGAAUCACUCGGGUUUCUGGCAGUGGCUAUGUCAAGAGAACUUGGUGGCUUCGGGUUGGAAGAAUUAGUGGGGCCUAGUUUGGAAUUUGGGUUUUGACAUAUUUGAAUGGAGAAAGUGGCUGAGGGUUUUGGAUCAAUAUCACUAAGCACUUGAGCAAGUAGAACAUUAAGCAACACCUCAUCCCCUUUUAAUAGUAUUGGCUUUCCUAUGGACUCAAUGUGAUCUUGGAUUACUUAAAUAGAAAUGAAGAGUCUUGAGCUUUUUCCAAACUUUUUCCUUAUCAUUUUGAGGGGUCCACAUCUCUAGUCCAUGCCAGGCCAAUCAUUGAACAUCCUAUAGUUCAAUGAGCUCUUGUUAUGAAUUACCAAAACCACCCGGGGAUUAGUUGCACUUUCAAUCUCCCCCUUUUUGGUAAUUGAUGACAACAUAUAGAUCAAAGCUUCCACAAAUGAUAAAAUGAAUGAAGUACAUCAUCACUUUGAGAAGUAUGUGAUAAGCAAGAGCUCCCCGUAAAUUUGUGCAUUAUUAAAAAUUUGUGUUUGAAUGCAAAUGCACAAUCGAUUAGGAUCGUGGGUCACUCUUCCAUGUCACAUACAUCUUGGUGGAUCGCACAAAAUGAUAUGAGUGAAAUAACAUGCACGCAUCACCAAAUACAUAAAUGAAUAAUCAUACACAAGUAAUCAUAGAGAUAAGCAUAAAUCACACAUUAAGCAUAGUAUGAUCAACCACACAACCAAACAUAGUAUCUCAUGAGCAUAAAAACAACCAAGUAGCAAAAAACAAAUGGACAUUGUAGCAACGGGCAAUAAAAACCAACAGGCAAAAUAACGAGACACUCUCUCUGAAAGCCUAUGAUCUAUACAUUUUCUCCCCCAUUGUCAACAAGUUACCAAAAAGCUCAAAAAAUUAUAGUGCCAUACGUCUCUCUAGGCAUGAUCCUCCGGAGCUCCUAAAAGGGUCUUCUGGCUUGUGGCUCCGGUGUUCGUAGAUGGUGUUGAGAGAACUGCCUCUGCGAAUGCUUUUGCUGAAGUGCGCUGCACUGGUGGUGUAGACACUGGAGGUGGCACUGUAGCAGUAGUGGCAGGUGCAGAGUGAGUAGGCCUCGUGUCUGCAACUGGCACAACUGAGGAUCCGGCUGCCCUCGGCACUGUCUGAAACCUCUCCGUAGUGGUGUGCUCAUUGCCUUCUUCAGUAUCAUCUCGAAGCUUCUCCACAAUAGACUAGAUCUAUGUGACCUUGAAAUUUAGAUUGUACAUCUUGUCCUCCACAAUCCGCUCUAAGCUCUCCCGGUUCUUGGCUAAGUUGGCCAGACUUUGCUCAAUCCUUUUUGUUGCUUCUAGCAGAUAUGUCAUUUGGUCUUGCUUAGACUUGAGAUUUGCUAUUGGGGCAUUGGGUGCAGUGGCUUCCUUUGCUGCCCUUGCUGCUGCUGCCUGAGCCUUCUCUUGAGACUCAACUAAUGUAGGGUGUGAAGGAUCCAUCACCACUACAUUUUCCUCGAACUCUGGCUCACGAGGAAGGUGCUCAUGAUUGAUGUCGCUUGAAGCUACGUCGGUAUUUCCCCAAAGAGGAAGGGAUGAUGCAGCACAGCGGCGGUAGGUAUUUCCCUCAGAUAUGAAACCAAGGUUAUCGAACCAGUAGGAGAACCAAGCAAAACAACAUAAAUAGCCCCUGCACAGAAAUAACAACACCUUGCAACCCGACGUGUUAAAGGGGUUGUCAAUCCCUUUCGGGGUACGACGCCAGAAACGGUGCGUGGACGGGAGAAAGUUGUAAUAGAUUGAAAUAAUAUAUCGCAAAUAAAAUAAAGUGCAGCAAAGUAUUUUUGAAUUUUUGGUUUAAUAGAUCUGGAUAAAAAUGCAAAGGAAAAGUAGAUUGCAAACAAAUAUAUGAGAAAGAAGACCCGGGGGCCAUAGAUUUCACUAGUGGUUUCUCUCGAGAAAAAUAGCAAACGGUGGGUAAACAAAUUACUGUUGGGCAAUUGAUAGAACUUCAAAUAAUUAUGACGAUAUCCAGGCAAUGAUCAUUACAUAGGCAUCACGUCCAAGAUUAGUAAACCGACUCCUGCCUGCAUCUACUACUAUUAUUCCACACAUCGACCGCUAUCCAGCAUGCAUCUAGUGUAUUAAGUUCAUAGAAAAACGGAUUAAUGCAAUAAGAACGAUGACAUGAUGUAGACAAGAUCCAUUUAUCUAUGGCGGUAGAUAUAGAUCCCAUCUUUUUAUCCUUAGUAGCAAUGAUACAUACGUGUCGGUUCCCUUUCUGUCACUGGGAUCAAGCACCGUAAGAUCGGACUCACUACCGGGCACCUCUUCCCAUUGCAAGAUAAAUAGAUCAAGUUGGCCAAACAAAACCCAAAUAUCUGAGAAGAAAUACGAGGCUAUAAGAGAUCAUGCAUAUAAUAGAUCAAAGAAACUCAACUAACUUUCAUGGAUAUAAAAAGAUAUAAUUGAUCAUAAACUCGAAGUUCAUCAGAUCCCAACAAACACACCGCAAAAGAGUUACAUCAUAUGGAUCUCCAAGAGACCAUUGUAUUGAUAAUUCAGUGAGAGAGAGGAAGCCAUCUAGCUACUAACUACAGACCCGAAGGUCUACAAAGAACUACUCACGCAUCAUCGGAGAGGCACCAAUGGAAGUGGUGAACCCCUCCUUGAUGGUGUCUAAAUUGGAUCUGGUGGUUCUGGACUAUUCGGCGGCUGGAUGAAUAUUUUGUUGACUCCCCUAGGGUUUCUGGAAUAUUGGGGUAUUUAUAGAGCAAAGAGGCGGUCCGGGGGGCACCCGAGGUGGGCACAAGGCGCGCCCUGGUGGGUUGUCCCCUCCUCGGGACUCCCCCAGGUGCAACCAGGGCCCGUUUUGUUCCUUAUGGCCCAUAAAAAUCAUCGUGGAGUUUCGUGGCAUUUGGACUCCGUCUGAUAUUGAUUUCCUGCGAUGUAAAAACAUGGGAAAAACAGCAACUGGCACUUGGCACUAUGUCAAUAGUUUAGUACCAAAAAAUGAUAUAAAAUGACUAUAAAAUGAUUAUAAAACAUCCAAGAUUGAUAAUAAAACAACAUUGAACAAUCAAAAAUUAUAGAUACGUUGGAGACAUAUCAGCAUCCCCAAGCUUAACUCCUGCUCGUCCGCGAGUAGGUAAGUGAUAAAAACAGAAUUUUUUAUGUGGAGUGUUGUUUAUCAUGUCAUAUCAUAUUCUUUUCUUUAUAGCAUGGACAUUUGGACUUUUAUGUGAUUCAAAGCAAUAGUCUAGUUUUGACAGAAUAUUUUAGAUACUCAAGCAUAUCAACAAGCAACCAUGUCUUUCAAAAUAUCAACGUUAAAAUAAGUUAUCCCUAGCCCAUCAUGCUCAAACAUUUAUCCAUUCAUGAAACACACUCGAAUAUUAGCUACACCCAAUACUUAAGUAUGAUUAUAUUUUUCCUCGUUUGUGCUUUUGUAAGAGAAGAUGGAGACUCAAAUUCAAAAAUAAAAAUUGCAUAAAGUAAAAGAAGGCCCUUCGCAGAGGGAAGUAGGGAUUUGUAGAGGUGCCAGAGCUCAAAGCGAAAAAUUAGAGAUAAAAACAUUUUUGGGAGGUGUAUCUAUCCCACCAACGAAAACGACAUAGAGCUACGAACACUUUCGAUGCUAGAUAUGCCAUAGGCGGUUCCCAAAUAGAAAAUAAAAUUUAUUCCUUUUUCCACCAUACUUUCACCUUCCAUGGCUAACCGUAUCCGCGGGUGCCCUCCAUACCAACACUUUCCAAGGAAUUUAUUAUUUGACAACAUAAAAUAAAUUUAUUUUUGCAUUUCGGGACUGGGCAUCCCUAAAACCUUUGCCUUACUCUUGUGCAAUGACAAGUGAAUAAACACUCAUCGUGAGAAUAACACAUCCAACAUGGAAAAUAUUAGCCACCCGUUACCGUUCUGCGAGCGAAACAAAUACACAAAAGAGAAGUUUAUUUUGAAAAUUAGAGAUGGCACAUGGAAAUUUGCUUAGAAUGGCAAAAGAAUACCACAUAUAGGUAGAUAUAGUGGACUCAUGUGCCAAAACUGGUUUAAAGGAUUUUGGAUGCACAAGUAGAGAUCAUACUUAGUGCAAAAUGAAGGCUAUCAAAAAGAUUGAGAAGCGACCAACCAAGAAACGAAUAAUACCAUAAGAAAGCAUUAAGCAUAAUUAGCACCGAAUAAUGCACCACAAGUAGGAUAUAAUUUUCAUUGCAUGAUUAUUGACUUUCGUGCAUGCAUAGGGAAUCACAAACCUUAACAACAAUAUUCUUACUAGAGCACAAUUACUCAUCAACAUAACUCACAUAUCACAUCAUCAUAUCUCAUAACUAUUACUAAGAAUCAAGUUUAUUUUGUCCAAUGAUCUUCAUGACAUUCUUUUACUUUAUCCUUCUUGGAUAUCUAUCACUUUGGGACUAAUUUUCAUGUGUUGCUUUUAAGCUCAAACAAAUAUAAGUGAAGAUCAUGAGCAUAACAAAUUUUCUUUGUCUCAGAAUAAUUUAAGUGAAUCAAGAGAGAAUUUCUUCAAAAAUUUACUAACUCUCAAAUAAAUCUAAGUGAAGCAAGAGAUCAUUUCUUCAAAAAAAUACUAAGCACACCGUGCUAAAAAAGAUAUAAGUGAAGCACUAGAGCAAGUCCUAGCUCAUAAAAGAUUUAAGUGAAGCACAGAGAGCAAUUCUAACAAGUCAUGAUAUAAUUUUGGCUCUCUCAAAUAGGUGUGUCCAUCAAGGAUUGAUUUCUUAAAACACAAAAUAAAACAAACAAAGACUCAUAUCAUACAAGACGCUCCAAACAAAACACAUAUCAUGUGACGAAUAAAAAUAUAGCUUCGAGUAAAAUACCGAUAGUUGUUGGAAGAAAGCGGGGAUGCCACUCGGGGGCAUCCCCAAGCUUAGUUGGUUGCUCAUUUUUAGAUAAUAGCUUGGGAUGCCGGGGCAUCCCCAAGCUUAGGCUUUCACAUCCUUCCUUCAUCCAUCGUAAGAUAACCCAAAACUUGAAAACUUCAAUCACACAAAACUCAACAAAACCUUCGUGAGAUCCGUUAGUAUAAGAAAGCAAACCACUAGUAUAAGUACUGUAUCAAACCAAUUCAUAUUUUCUUUUUGUAUUAUAUCUACUGUAUUCCAACUUUUCUACGGCAAAAACUCAUCAAAGAAAACCAUAGAGCCAUCAAAAUAAGCACACAACACAAAGAAAACAGAAUCUGUGAAAACAGAACAGUCUGUAGUAAUCUGACUUUUGCGAAUACUUCUGGAAAAAAUUCUACAAAAUUAGGAAGACCAGGGUAAUUUGAAUAUUAAUCUUCUGCAAAAAGAAUCAGGGCAAAAUCUCUUUCUGAUAAAAAAUGAGAAUUGUUUUCGUGAGCGCAAAGUUUCUGUCUUUUUCAGCAAGAUCAAACAACUAUCACCCAAGAAGAUCCUAAAGGCUUUUCUUGGCACAAACACUAAUUAAAACACAAAAAACACAAUCAUAAUAGUAGCAUAAUUGUGUUAACACUCAAGAACAGAAAGCAAAAAGCAAAAAUAAAAUUUAUUCAUUGGGUUUCCUCCCAACAAGCGCUAUAGUUUUACGCCCUUAGCUAGGCAUAAAGCAUGGAUCUAAGUUUUGUCAUCCUUAGUUCGAGAUCCAUAAGAUGCCCUGAUGAUUGAUUCAUAAGGUGGUUUGAUUUUUGUUCUAGGAAAGUGUUCCAUACCCUUCCUCAAGGUAAAUUGGAACUUUAUAUUGCCUUCUUUCAUAUCAAUCACGACACCAAUAGUGCGUAAAAACGGUCUACCAAGGAUAAUUGGACAAGACAGAUUGCAAUCAAUAUCAAGAACAAUAAAAUCUACGGGCACAUAAUUUCUAUUUGCAAGAAUAAUAACAUCAUUAAUUCCUCCCAUAGGCUUUUUAAUAGUAGAAUCCGCCAAGUGCAAAUUCAAAGAACACGAUUCAAUAUCGAUAAGACCAAGCACAUCACAUAAAGAUUUCGGAACUAUAGAAACACUAGCACCCACGUCACGUAAAGCAAAACACUCACAAUUUUUAAUCUUGACUUUGAUACUAGGUUCCCAUUCAUCAUGCAAUUUUCUAGGAAUUGAAACUUCUAAUUCCAAUUUUUCUUCCAAAGCUUUCAUCAUAGCAUCAACAAUAUGUUUAGUAAAAAGCUUUGUUUUGUUCAUAAGCAUGGGGUGAAUUUAGGAUGUAUUGCAACAAAGAAAUACAAUCAAUCAAAGAGAAACUAUCAUAAUUAAAGUCUUUAUAAUCCAAAAGAGUGGGUGCAUCACUAACUAAAGUUUUGACCUCUCCAAACCCACUUUUAUCAAUUUUCUCAACAAGAUUUUCACCCUCCGAAAUAUUGGGACGCCUUCUACCUAAAGUUGACUCUUCUCUAGUCCCUUUUUCAUCAAUCUUAUCUUUACUAAACAAGGAAUCAAUAGAAGAAACACCAAUCAUUUUAAGAUCUUCAUCACUUUUGCAAGAAUAAUCACUAGAAAGAGCUUUCUCUAAAAAUUCUCUUUUAGCUCUAAGCAUAGCAGUUCUUUUCUUACUUUCAUCUAUAGAAACAUAAAGGGCUUUAAUUGAUUCAUCAACUUUAGGCACCAAAAUUUUCAACUUGAGGUUUUCCACAUCAUGGGCAAUUCUAUCAACACUUCUAGACAAAUCAUCGAUCUUAUUCAACUUUUCUUCCGUGGAAGUGUUGAAAACCUUUUGCGUGUUGAUAAAUUCUUUAAUAUUAUUAUCAAGAUCAGAGUUAUUCUAUUGUAAGAUUGAUUUACAUAGGAAUUACAUAAUUAUUAGAGGAAUUACUAGGAAAAGGCCUAGGAUUAAAAUUUCCUCUAUAAGCAUUGUUGUUGAAAUUAUUGCGAGAAAUAAAAUUCACAUCAAUAGCAUCACUAUUUUGCUCAAUCAAAGUAGACAAAGGCAUAUCAUUAAAAUCAAUAGGAGCACUUUUACUAGCAACCAAUUUCAUAAGAGCAUCAACUUUUUCACUCAAAGAAGAAAUUUCUUCAACCGAAUUAACUUUUUUACCAGUAGGAGCCCUUUCGGUAUGCCAUUGUGAAUAAUUUCCCAUGAUAUUAUCUAGCAAUUUGGUGGCUUCACCCAAAGUAAUUUCCAUAAAAGUACCAUCUGCGGCGGAAUCUAAAAGAUUACGAGAAACAAAAUUCAACCCCGCAUAAAUUUUUUGUAUGAUCAUCCAAAGAUUUAACCCAUGAGUUGGGCAAUUUCUUAGCAUCAUUUUCAUCCUUUCCCAAGAUUGUGCAACAUGCUCAUGUUCAAGUUGCUUGAAAUUCAUUGUCUGGGUUCUAAGGUAAAUAAGUUUUGCGGGAGGAAAAUACUUAGUGAUAAAAGCAUCUUUGCACUUAUUCCAAGAAUCGAUACUAUUGCGAGGCAAAGAAGAGAACCAAUUUUUUGCAGAAUCACGCAAAGAAAACGGAAAUAAUUUCAUCUUGACCACAUCAUUGUCCACAUAUUUUUUCUUUUGCAUAUCGCAUAAUUCCACGAAGGUAUUAAGAUGGGAUGCGUCAUCCUCAUUAGGAGGACCGGAAAAUUGAUCUUUCAUAACAAGAUUGAACAAAACAGUAUUAAUAUCACAAGUCUCCGCACUAGUGGUGGGAGGAGCAAGCGGAGUGCCAAUAAAAUCAUUGUUGUUGGUAUUUGAGAAAGCACAUAACUUGGUGUUCUCUUGAGUCAUGACGACUACACAACAAGAUUGCACUCAAAACAGAUCUGGCAUAAAAACGGCGAACGGAAAAAGAGAGGCGAAUAAUACGGCAAAUUUUUGUGAAGUGGGGGAGAGGAAAACGGGAGGCAAAUGGCAAAUAAUGUAAAUUGCGAGGAGAUGAGAUUUGUGAUUAGGAACCUGGUUAUGUUGAAGAUCCUCCCCGGCAACGGCGCCAGAAAUUCCUUUUGAUGCUUGAAGCUACGUCGGUAUUUCCCCAAAGAGGAAGGGAUGAUGCAGCACAACGGCAGUAGGUAUUUCCCUCAGAUAUGAAAGCAAGGUUAUCGAACCAGUAGGAGAACCAAGCAACACAACAUAAACAGCCCCUGCACACAAAUAACAACACCUCGCAACCCGACGUGUUAAAGGGGUUGUAAAUUCCUUUUGGGGUACGGCGCCAGAAAUGGUGCGUGGACAGGAGAAAGUUGUAAUAGAUUGAAAUAAUAGACCACAAAUAAAAUAAAGUGCAGCAAAGUAUUUUUGUAUUUUUAGUUUAAUAGAUCUGAAUAAAAAUGCAAAGGAAAAGUAUAUCACAAACAAAUAUAUGAGAAAGAAGACCCGGGGGCCGUAGAUUUCACUAGUGGCUUCUCUCUCGAAAAAUAGCAAACGGUGGGUAAACAAAUUACUGUUGGGCAAUUGAUAGAACUUCAAAUAAUUAUGACGAUAUCCAGGCAAUGAUCAUUACAUAGGCAUCACGUCCAAGAUUAGUAAACCGACUCCUGCCUGCAUCUACUACUAUUACUCCACACAUCGACCGCUAUCCAGCAUGCAUCUAGUGUAUUAAGUUCAUGGAAAAACAGAGUAAUGCAAUAAGAACGAUGACAUGAUGUAGACAAGAUCCGUUUAUCUAUGGCGGUAGAUAUAGAUCCCAUCUUUUUAUCCUUGGUAGCAACGAUACAUACGUGUCGGUUCCCUUUCUGUCACUAGGAUCAAGCACCGUAAGAUCGAACCCACUACCGGGCACCUCUUCCCAUUGCAAGAUAAAUAGAUCAAGUGGGCCAAACAAAACCCAAAUAUCAGAGAAGAAAUGCAAGGCUAUAAGAGAUCAUGCAUAUAAGAGAUCAAAGAAACUCAAAUCACUUUCAUGGAUAUGAAAAGAUAUAAUUGAUCAUAAACUCGAAGUUCAUCAGAUCCCAACAAACACACCGCAAAAGAGCUACAUCAUAUGGAUCUCCAAGAGACCAUUGUAUUGAGAGUUCAGCGAGAGAGAGGAAGCCAUCUAGCUACUAACUACGGACCCGAAGGUCUACAAAGAACUACUCACGCAUCAUCGGAGAGGCACCGAUGGAACUGGUCAACCCCUCCGUGAUGGUGUCUAGAUUGGAUCUGGUGGUUCUGGACUCUGCGGCGGUUGGAUGAAUAUUUCGUCUACUCCCCUAGGUUUUCUGGAAUAUUGGGGUAUUUAUAGAGCAAAGAAGCGGUCCGGGGUGCACCCGAGGUGGGCACAACCCACCAGGGCGCGCCUGGGCCUCCUGGUGCGCCAUGGUGGGUUGUCCCCUCCUCGAGACUCCCCCAGGUGCAACCAGGGCCCGUUGUGUUCCUUUUGGCCCAUAAAAAAUCAUCGUGGAGUUUCAUGGAAUUUGGACUCCGUCUGAUAUUGAUUUCCUGUGAUGUAAAAAACAUGGAAAAAACAGCAACUGGCACUUGGCACUAUGUCAAUAGGAUAGUACCAAAAAAUGAUAUAGAAUGACUAUAAAAUGAUUAUAAAACAUCCAAGAUUGAUAAUAAAACAUCAUGGAAAAAUCAGAAAUUAUAGGUACAUUGGAGACAUAUCAAUGAUCAAGUAGAUAUGUAUCUCUACCAACCUUGGAGUUGAUAAGCACCUCAAUGUGAGGGGCAUAUCGACAAGACCUUUUCUGGUCAGCAGUAGCCCUCUUGACCGUCUCAACAAUUAAGCUCAGAACUUUUAAAUUUCUAAGGUGGGGUGUCAAACAAGUGAAGCAAAUUGAUAGAGUGGCCAUGGAUCAUCCUUUCAUCUCUAGAUUUGGGCAAAAGAGUGAAUCUCAGAUUGGUGUUUGUUGCGGCCAACCCUGCUAGCAAAUGCUUGACUGUCGGGGUAAUUGACCACGGGUACCCCGAAGACGACAAGACAAUAUUUCAAGACAUCGGGGCUAGCAAAGCCCCUCUGUCCGUGCUCAGGCCGCCCCAGACGCCCCCUGUCCGACUGCACGGGCCGACUCGCCACCCGACACGGCAGCCGUGCAGCAGGAGGCUCGCCGCCGCGAGCUGGGACCCUGCGUGCAAGCCGAGAAUNNNNNNNNNNNNNNNNNNNNNNNNNNNNNNNNNNNNNNNNNNNNNNNNNNNNNNNNNNNNNNNNNNNNNNNNNNNNNNNNNNNNNNNNNNNNNNNNNNNNNNNNNNNNNNNNNNNNNNNNNNNNNNNNNNNNNNNNNNNNNNNNNNNNNNNNNNNNNNNNNNNNNNNNNNNNNNNNNNNNNNNNNNNNNNNNNNNNNNNNNNNNNNNNNNNNNNNNNNNNNNNNNNNNNNNNNNNNNNNNNNNNNNNNNNNNNNNNNNNNNNNNNNNNNNNNNNNNNNNNNNNNNNNAGGCGCCGACAGGCGGCGCCCAUGACAGACGAGAUCAAGAGCCGGCUGCUAGCCGUAGCCGCACCCACAUCAUGAUCGAGCGCGACCAAGAUGGCCGCCCACGAGCAGUGGAACGGCGGGACGAUCGUCUGCCUCCCCCGCGCAGGGAGAGGCGCGCCUCCCCGCUGCCUGUUGAGCAUCCGACUCUCGUAGGCCGUCUAGGUCCCCGUGAAGGAGUCAGAGAGAACGACGCCCGCCACUGGAUCGACUUAUUGGCUCGGUCCCUGGCGUUAGAAUAAGAAGACGCAAUCGCGGCGAGCCCUUCCCCAAAGGGUUCUCGCUCCCUCGAGACACUGCCAAGUACAACGGCUCCGUGAAGCCGGAAGACUGGCUGGUUGAGUACUCCACCACCGUCAACAUAGCAAACGGCAACAAGCACAUUGCCGUGAAGUACGUUCCGCUCAUGCUCCAGGGCACGACCCGGAUAUGGCUGAACAGCCUCAAACCCUACAGCGUCAACAGCUGGCUAGACUUCACCGAUGCCUUCAUCUGCAACUUCACCAGCACAUACAAGCGGCCGCCCAAGCCCCGCCAGCUCUCCUUGUGCGUCCAAGGUCCGACUGAGUACACCCGCGACUACCUAACGCGGUGGGCCGAACUACACAACUCCUGCGAAGGGGUGCAUGAGGUGCAAGCCAUAGAGUUCUUCACAGCCGGGUGCAGAGAUGGCACCCUGCUCAAGCACAAGCUCCUCUGCGACGAGCCGACUACCCUCGACGAGCUGCUGAUCAUAGCAGACAAGUACGCCACGGCCGACUCCUCCAUGAAGUCGGAGUUGCAAAUAGACGCAACCGGGAAGGUGACCCCUCCGGCUCCUCGGACGCUAGCUGGUGACUCCAGCCGGCAACAGCAGCCGAACGACAACAAGCGCAAGGCCCCGCAGCCGGCUUCCACCAGCCGGCAAGUGGCAACAGUCGAAGACCAUGUAACACCCCAAGUGUCAUGCUACAGUAAUCACCUGUUAAUGGUGCCAUGUCAUCAGGUUACUGUUGCUAAUCUUCACUUGAUCCAAAUCACCAUUCAAAUUCAAAUCCAAUCUAAAGUCAAAAAUUCUUUUUGUCAGACAUGAAAUCUAAAAUGUUCAUCUUGUGGCAAAUAAUCAUUUUUUAAUAUUGGUGGUGGACCAACAUUUUUGCAAGGUGUUUAAAUGGCCUAAACCAAUUAAAGCAGUGGCUAAAACAAUAGAUUAAAUGACUUUUUAAUUUAUAAAAAUUGCUACCUUUUUCACAAAGCCUCACAAUCUUUUUGUGGCAAUGCAAAAUAAUUCUUUGGAAUUGUUUUAGCCAGUGGCAUAAUUUUGCAAGUCAUUAGUGGCUAAAAGAAAAAUGCAAAAGCUGCUGAAAAAGAAAAACAAAAAAAGGAGAAAGAAAGGGGGGGAGAGAGAGAGAGCAACCCCCCUCCCUGGACCGAACCCACCUGGGCCGGCCCACCUAACCCACCCGAGCCAGCCCAGUUGCCCCCUCGCAGCGGUCUCUCUCCCCCCGCCCUGUUCCUCGGUCUCAGACCGCAACAGGGGCGUCACCGCUGAACCACCUCGCCGGCCACGCCGCUACAGGCUCCGCGGGGAGGAUAAGGACGCCAGCGACGACCCCCCUGCCUCCUCCGAGAGAUCUUUUCCCCCCUUCCCCACGAGCUACUGCUUGCCCUCUCCGCCUCUCCCAUUCCCCACCGCAUCCGAGCGCUGCCGUGGCCCUGCCGCCGUAACGCACGCGGUCCCCGACACCGCCUCGCCUCUCCUCCGCGCCAAGAAGGACCGCCUCGACCUCCUCUUCCUCCCCAACGAAUCACCCGAGCAGGAGCGCCUCUGCAUCAUCCCCUACGUUGCCGUCUUCCUCCUCUUCUCCGAAGAGCUUCGCCGUCGAUUCCGCCGCACCGAGCCCUCCUCGAGCACGCUUGAGCACAUCUGCAGGAGCACUGUGAGCCUGCGCUUCUUUCCCCUCUCUCUCCCGAGCUUUUCCGACGCCCGUAGCCCCGUUCCCGUAGCUCGCCCGAAGAACCUCGCCGCCGACGAGCUCGGCGCCAUGGCCAUGGUCGCCUUCACAUGCGGCCGAGCGCCGCAUCGUGCUCCUGGGGUUCCUAGUGGCCCAACGCGCGCGUCUGCUGCUCUCACCGUGCCCCGCAGCCCCCUGUUCACCGCUCACCAGAAAGCCACCACCACCUGACUCGCCGUCGGUGACGUUCUCGGCCGUCCCCGGCCACGCCACCACCUCCAUUCGACGCGGUGUGGACUGGUCGUUCGAACGGGCCAAACCACAGCCCCGGGGAUGCCCUGUGGGCGAAACCCGAAGCUCACCCGCGCCUCGCCGCCGCAUUGGAGCUCGCCGGAGCCCCUCUCCGGUGCCCUGCCGACGUGGCUGACCGGGCCCCACCCCUGGCUCGCUGCCAGUGGGCCCCACGGGCCCCAGUUGACUGGGUUGACCCAGUCGACUGCUGACUGGGCAGCGGAGUGCCACUGACAUGCAGGCCCCACUGCUUAAUUAAGCUAAUUAAAAUGUUUUAUAAUUAAAAAUAAUUAGUUAAGCUAAAUAGUCACUCACAUGUGGGGCCCAGCUGCUAAUUAGCCAUGUUUAAUUAAAAUAACCCCCUGUCAGUCCACUGUCGAUGACAGGUGGGACCCACUGGUCAGUUUGACCUGGUCAGCCGUCCUGUUGACCGCUGACUUCACAAUGACGUCAUGUUGAUGCAAUAUUCCUUUUCUGUUAAUAUUAAUAAUUCCAGAAAAUACCUUAACCUUUAGAAAUUCAUAGUAAUUAAACAGUUACUCUGAUGAAAAUGUUUUCUACAUGAAAGUUGCUCAGAAAAAUCCAACGAAUCCGAAUAUGCGGUCCGUUCAUCUGUCACAUGCCCUAUCAUGCUCAACUUGUUACUUUCCCCCCCUUUUCCUUUGUCCGAAAUCCACCUAACGUCGGGAAUUCAUCCUCGGAUGUUUAUCCCCUCCGUCUGCAACGUGUAGUACUAUGUUAGGUCGACCCUAGUUUUGCUUAUCGUCAUGUCAUGCUUAGCGUUGCAUCUGUGUGCUUAUAUUUACUGUUUCUUCCCCCUCUUCGCUUCGAUAGACCCCGAGACCGAUGCCGCCCCUGUGAUCGACUACGUCGACGAUGACCCCUCCUUGCCAGAGCAACCAGGCAAGCCCCCCCCUUGAUCACCAGAUAUCGCCUAUUCUUCUCUAUACUGCUUGCAUUAGAAGAGUGUAGCAUGUUACUGCUUUCGGUUAAUCCUAUUCUGAUGCAUAGCCUGUCAUUGUUGCUACAGUUGUUACCCUUACCUGCUAUCCUACUGCUUAGUAUAGGAUGCUAGUGUUCCAUCAGUGGCCCUACACUCUUGUCCGUCUGCCAUGCUAUACUACUGGGCCGUGAUCACUUCGGGAGGUGAUCACGGGCAUACGCUACAUACUUUAUACUGUUACAUUACUUAUGAUACUGUUCGGAGAUGCGGGCUGAAGGGGCAGGUGGCUCCAUCCCGGUAGAGGUGGGCCUGGGUUCCCGACAGCCCUGGACUGUUACUUUGUGGUGGAGCGACAGGGCAGAUUGAGACCACCUAGGAGAGGGGUGGGCCUGGCCCUGGUCGGCGUUCGCGGAUACUUAACACGCUUAACGAGAUCUUGGUAUAUGAUCUGAGUCUGGCCAUUUGGUCUAUACGCACUAACCAACUAUGCGGGAACAGUUAUGGGCACUCGACGUCGUGGUAUCAGCCAAAGCCUUCGUGACGUCAGCGACUGAGCGGCGCGCGCCGAAUUGGACUGGAACGCCUGCUAGGCUAGGUCUGCUUCCGGCCGCGUUCGCAACGUGCAGGUGUGCAAUGGGCGAUGGGCCCAGACCCCUGAGCCAUAGGAUUUAGACCGGCUUGCUGACCUCUCUGUUGUGCCUAGGUGGGGCUGCGACGUGUUGAUCUUCCGAGGCCGGGCAUGACCCAGGAAAGUGUGUCCGGCCAAAUGGGAUCAAGCGUGUUGGGUUAUGUGGUGCACCCCUGCAGGGAAGUUUAUCUAUUCGAAUAGCCGUGAUCUUCGGUAACAGGACGACUUGGAGUUGUACCUUGACCUUAUGACAACUAGAACCGGAUACUUAAUAAAACACACCCUUCCAAGUGCCAGAUACAACCCGGUGAUCGCUCUCUAACAGGGCGACGAGGAGGGGAUCGCCGGGUAGGAUUAUGCUAUGCGAUGCUACUUGGUGAACUUACCAUCUACUCUCUUCUACAUGCUGCAAGAUGGAGGUGGCCUGAAGCAUAGUCUUCGACAGGAUUAGCUAUCCCCCUCUUAUUCUGGCAUUCUGUAGUUCAGUCCACCGAUAUGGCCCUUUACACAUAUACCCAUGCAUAUGUAGUGUAGCUCCUUGCUUGCGAGUACUUUGGAUGAGUACUCACGGUUGCUUUUCUCCCUCUUUUCCCCCUUUCCCUUCUACCUGGUUGUCACAACCAGAUGUCGGAGCCCAGGAGCUAGACGCCACCGUCGACGACGACUCCUACUACACCGGAGGUGCCUACUACUACAUGUAGCCCGCUGACGACGACCAGGAGUAGUUAGGAGGAUCCCAGGCAGGAGGCAUGCGCCUCUUUCAAUCUGUAUCCCAGUUUGUGCUAGCCUUCUUAAGGCAAACUUGUUUAACUUAUGUCUGUACUCAGAUAUUGUUGCUUCCGCUGACUCGUCUAUGAUCGAGCACUUGUAUUCGAGCCCUCGAGGCCUCUGGCUUGUAUUAUGAUGCUUGUAUGACUUAUUUUAUUUUUAGAGUUGUGUUGUGAUAUCUUCCCGUGAGUCCCUGAUCUUGAUCGUACACGUGUGCGUGUACCAUUAGUGUACGGUCAAAUCGGGGGCGUCACAAGUUGGUAUCAGAGCCAACUGCCUGUAGGAAUCCCCCUUCCACACUCCUUUGCCGAAGUCGAGGCUAGACAUUGCAAAAAAUUUACUAACAUGGCUGUGUGUCUUACGUUUACACGUCGCCAUUGGGUGGUAGUAGGAUCUUUUAUUCCUCGACCUAUACUCUGGGACUCUGACAUCUCUUCUAUUCGGGUUAAACGAUUUUACUAACUCUGACUCUAGGUUCUCGAUAAUACUGUCUCCCGGAGAGCCCCUUAUUACAGAUGAUCACCUGCUGUGCCAGACGAUUCCGAAGAUACUCUCUGAUGUUUUCUCGAGACCCUUGUGCCCUUCGCCCUUGCAUUACCUUCCAUCGAUAAAUCCUUAUGGAUAAAUACUUACACCUGUCCUUCUUACUUUCAUUCCCAGCUGCUCUUGUUAUUACAAGAUGCAUCAAAUUAUUCUUCGACUUUUAAUAAUCUCUUCAACCACCGCCUUACAGAUCUUGCCGCAUGAAUACCCCUAAGGAUAAAUUCCUCGCAUUUAUCGAGUAUCCGUUCAUUCCCAGUUGUUCAUGUGUUUUGCAAAAGACUUCGAAAUAUCAUUCGAUCUUCCGAAAAUCCUGAGCAGCCUAUUGCUCUUGAAAUUCUUGUUUGCUGCAUUAUGAUUAAUCCCAUAAGUCUGGUAAUUUAUUGGCAUCCUUUGACAUUAUCAUUCUAAGUCCAUUGAUUCAGUAUGUUGCAAAUGCUCGCAAUCCUCAAUCAGAUCCUAUGAUUCAUCAUUCCCGCUCAGAUAUCAUUUUGAACAGGAGCUGGUUCUCGACCAAUCAAGUUGUCGUCGAAGGUACCCCUAAGCCUACUCAACUUAUCCAUCCUUAAUCAGAGCGUUUGCUUUUGAUCCCUUGGUUUGGAAAUUUUAAUUCCUUUUGCAUUUGAGCUUGACUUAGUCAGUUGUUUCUAUAAUCAGAUCUCCUUGCAUUCUUUCUUCUUCUGGUUGAGUACCGAUGCUCACAUCAAAUCCCUUAGGGUCCGCCAGGUCCUUUGUUGGAUUUUGUCCGACACCGUCCUUCGUAUUCAUUAACCUUGUGAGCUUUUCCUCAGAUACAUAAUGCCUUUGGUAAAUUGUAUCCCCUGCUUUUGUCAACCAUGCUCUGCUCCCGAGCUUGAGUUAUUUACUCCGAAGUUUGUGGUAUAUAUUCCUAGAUGCCCCAAUGGGUUGAACCAUUACCUUCCCUAAUCGGUGCGAACCCGAAAGAUUUCAUGGGUCAUACUUAUCUGGUAUUGUACCAGGUAAAACGUUCAACAACUAAUGUCAUUUUCGAAAUACGAGAGGUGAAUGGAAGGUUAUGCAUGGAGGAAGUGGGAGUCGACCUUGAACCUUUGUGUUCAUGCCCAUGGACACGAUGUAGAUCCUAUCAUGGGAACUUCUUGUAAUAAUAGCUAUUUCCUUGAUAUAAUAUCCUUUGGUAUCGGAGAAUUGAUCCUUUGCAAUUGUGGUUCCGACCAUAUGUUCUUCUUUGAUCCCAUUUCUCGGGCAAGUUUAAGCACUUGUCUUCUACAGAUCAAUGCAUCUCCUCAACCUCUAUUUUGAUAUUCCUUCGAGUAUUACCCCUGGUAUCUCGAGGAUAUCAUGCCAUUGCACUACAUCUUAUGAACUUUUGAUGAAGCACUACCUUUUCCUGUCAUUGUCACUUCACGGGUUCUGGGUUGUUUAUCAAUCGAGAACACCGAUAAGUGAAUCGAUUCCACACUCCGAUUCAAUAACUCUAAAUAAUUUUCGUUGCUUAUGAGUUUAAUAAUCAUUCAAGCCGUUCCUAGCAUUAUCGGCUAUAUCAUUAUCAUGCUAAAUUUUAACUGUGCUACCUGGUCCUUCCUCCCGGAGCACAAUUUUCGGCGAUGAGCUAAACUUACGUCGAUCUUCCUCGUCAUAUCAUUUUGCCGUAACAACAAGCUUGAUUUCGAGUUUGUGUCGUAUCCGUGGUUCCAAUAGACUUUUGCUUCAUCCUUCCUAUUGCUUGGUGUCGUUGCUCCUCAAUGGCAUCUUCAUAGAGCCUCUCGACAAAUGUGUCGUGAUCAUCAUCAACAUUUUGACUUAUGUUGAGAUGACAAUUGAAUUCAUGGUGAGAAAUACCAUCCGUGACCUUCGAUGAUUUGAGUUAUCAUCGACAAGCCCCCCUUGUCUUCUUUUCAGCACAUGUUUAAUCAUGUCCAAUUGUUCCUUGAGUAUUUCUUGUGAUCUUCAACUCCAACCCCUACUUGUAACACCAUGUUAAUGCUACCUCGAAGCAUGACUGAGGUAUUCCGAAUAUCAACAAGAACAUUGGAAGCACAUUGUCGAAUGUUUCUUGAUCUAUUAUCCAAACACCGUUGUAUGGGUAAUAUCAUGAUUCUUCGCUCGCCCCCUUUAUCUAAAUGCUUUUGAACUUGCUGUCAUAUCAUGUAUAUCCUGCUCCGCUUCCCCUUGGGAAGGAUAUACUCCCAAUUCUUGUGUGUAAACACAUUUUCCGUUCCAAUGAUCUGAUUAAUCUAAUGAUCGCCUUUUCCUUCCCAUUGUUUAGUUUAACCUUUCUUAUGAUCUAUAUGAUCUAAGCAGUAAUAUUUUUUCUGCUUAUGUCAACACCUUGGUGUAGAACCGUGUCAGUAAGACCCUGUUACUAUAGUUGAUGACAUUUCAGUAGCCACCGAUGGACGGGAACUUUGCCUAUUGGUCCGCCUCGUACAACGAGCAGGAAAAUAGUUCUCUCCGUCCCUCGCCCUUGGUACCAUCGUUGUUGACAACAUAACUGACUGUCUAUCAUCUGACAUGCCUUGCUAUCGGCCCCCUUUCUACUUUUAAUAGACAUGGUGGGCUCAUAACCCACAGUUCCACAGGAUCGAAACCUGACUCUCCUGUACAACCUUGAUGCCAAAGUAUCUUAUGCUCUUGGCUUUGUGUGUUAUCACGAGCCACCCCCCCGAGGGAUGAUCUAUUCCCGAUGCUCUGAACGCCUUCUCACGCUCUGUUCAGGUAUCGAUCGUUUGUCCAUUCGCUCGAAACUUCUUAUUGUACCUUCAUAUUUUGCUCUCGACGUUUUCUUAAAUUUCAACUCGAGGGAUACUUCUGUCACAUUCCCUGCAUUGUUCACCAGACAAUUAACCCUAUAUGGGUCAGUUAUCCUGAAGUUACUCUUUACUUCACCACUUAAAUCUCGGGACGAGAUUUCUUGUAGUGGAGGAGAUUUGUAACACCCCAAGUGCCAUGCUACAGUAAUCACCUGUUAAUGGUGCCACGUCAUCAGGUUACUGUUGCUAAUCUUCACUUGAUCCAAAUCACCAUUCAAAUUCAAAUCCAAUCUAAAGUAAAAAAUUCUUUUUGUCAGACAUGAAAUCUAAAAUGUUCAUCUUCUGGCAAAUAAUCAUUUGUUAAUAUUGGUGGUAGACCAACAUUUUUGCAAGGUGUUUAAAUGGUCUAAACCAAUUAAAGCAGUGGCUAAAACAAUAGAUUAAAUGGCUUUUUAAUUUACAAAAAUUGCUACCUUUUUCACAAAGCCUCACAAUCUUUUUGUGGCAAUGCAAAAUAAUUCUUUGGAAUUGUUUUAGCCAGUGGCAUAAUUUUGCAAAGUCAUUAGUGGCUAAAAGAAAAAUGCAAAAGCUGCUGGAAAAAGAAAAACAAAAAAAAAGGAGAAAGAAAGGGGAGAGAGAGAGAGCAACCCCCUCCCUGGACCGAACCCACCUGGGCUGGCCCACCUAACCCACCCGAGCCAGCCCAGUUGCCCCCUCGCAGCGGUCUCUCUCCCCCCGCCCUGUUCCUUGGGCUCAGACCGCAACAGGGGCGUCGCCGCCAAACCACCUCGCCGGCCACGCCGCUACAGGCGCCGCGGGGAGGAUAAGGACGCCAACGACGACCCCCCUGCCUCCUCCGAGAGAUCUUUUCCCCCUGCCCCAUGAGCUGCUGCUUGCCCUCUCCGCCUCUCCCAUUCCCCACCGCAUCCGAGCGCUGCCGUGGCCCUGCUGCCGUAAUGCACGCGGUUCCCGACACCGCCUCGCCUCUCCUCCGUGCCAAGAAGGACCGCCUCGACCUCCUCUUCCUCACCGUCGAAUCACCCGAGCAGGAGCGCCUCUGCAUCAUCCCCUACGUUGCCGUCUUCCUCCUCUUCUCCGACGAGCUUCGCCGUUGAUUCCGCCGCACCGAGCCCUCCUCGAGCACGCUUGAGCACAUCUGCAGGAGCAAUGUGAGCCUGCGCUUCUUUCCCCUCUCUCUCCCGAGCUUUUCCGACGCCCGUAGCCCCGUUCCCGUAACUUGCCCGAAGAACCUCGCCGCCGACGAGCUCGGCGCCGUGGCCAUGGUCGCCUUCACAUUCGGCCGAGCGCCGCAUCGUGCUCCUGGGGUUCCUAGUGGCCCAACGCGCGCGUCUGUUGCUCUCGCCGUGCCCCGCAGCCCCCUGUUCACCGCUCACCGGAAACCCACCACCACCUGACUCGCCGCCGGCGACGUUCCCGGCCGUCCCCGGCCACGCCACCACCUCCAUUCGACGCGGUGUGGACUGGCCGUUCGAACGGGCCAAACCACAGCCCCGGGGAUGCCCUGUGGGCGAAACCCGAAGCUCACCCGCGCCUCGCCACCGCAUUGGAGCUCGCCGGAGCACCUCUGCGGUGCCCUGCCGACGUGGCUGGCCGGGCCCCACCCUUGGCUCACUGCUAGUGGGCCCCACGGGCCCCAGUUGACUGGGUUGACCCAGUCGACUGCUGACUGGGCAGCCGAGUGCCACUGACAUGCAGGCCCCACCGCUUAAUUAAGCUAAUGUUUUAUAAUUAAAAAUAAUUAGUUAAGCUAAAUAGUCACUGACAUGUGGGGCCCAGCUGCUAAUUAGCCAUGUUUAAUUAAAAUAACCCACUGUCAGUCCACUGUCGAUGACAGGUGGGACCCACUGGUCAGUUUGACUUGUUCAGCCGUCCUGUUGGCCGCUGACAUCACAAUGACAUAAUGCUGAUGCAAUAUUCCUUUUCUGUUAAUAUUAAUAAUUCCAGAAAAUACCUUAACCUUUAGAAAUUCAUAGUAAUUAAACCGUAACUCCGAUGAAAAUGUUUUCUACAUGAAAGUUGCUCAGAAAAAUCCAACGAAUCCGAAUUUGCAGUCCGUUCAUCUGACACAUGCCCCUAGCAUGCUGAACUUGGAAACUUUCCCCCUCUUUUCCUUUGUCCGGAAUCCACCUAACAUCGGGAAUUCAUCCUCAGAUGUUUAUCCCCUCCGUCUGCAACGUGUAGUACUACGUUAGGUCGACCCUAGUUCUGCUUAUCGUCAUGUCAUGCUUAGCGUUGCAUCUGUGUGCUUAUAUUUACUGUUUCUUCCCCCUCUUCUCUCCGAUAGACCCCGAGACCGAUGCCGCCCCUGUGAUCGACUACGUCGAUGACGACCCCUCCUUGCCAGAGCAACCAGGCAAGCCCCCCCUUGAUCACCAGAUAUCGCCUAUUCUUCUCUAUACUGCUUGCAUUAGAAGAGUGUAGCAUGUUACUUCUUUCGGUUAAUCCUAUUCUGAUGCAUAGCCUGUCAUUGUUGCUACAGUUGUUACCCUUACCUGCUAUCCUACUGCUUAGUAUAGGAUGCUAGUGUUCCAUCAGUGGCCCGACACUCUUGUCCGUCUGCCAUGCUAUAAUACUGGGCCGUGAUCACUUCGGGAGGUGAUCACGGGCAUACGCUACAUACUUUAUACUGUUACAUUACUUAUGAUACUGUUUGGAGAUGGGGGCUGAAGGGGCAGGUGGCUCCAUCCCGGUAGAGGUGGGCCUGGGUUCUCGACGGCCCCCGACAAUUACUUUGUGGCGGAGCGACAGGGCUGGUCGAGACCACCUAGGAGAGGGGUGGGCCUGGCCCUGGUCGGCGUUCGCGGAUACUUAACAGGCUUAACGAGAUCUUGGUAUAUGAUCUGAGUCUGGCCAUUUGGUCUAUACGCACUAACCAACUACGCGGGAACAGUUAUGGGCACUCGACGUCGUGGUAUCAGCCGAAGCCUUCGUGACGUCAGCGACUGAGCGGCGGGCGCCGGAUUGGACUGGAACGCCUGCUAGGCUAGGUCUGCUUCCGGCCGCGUUCGCAACAUGCAGGUGUGCAAUGGGCGAUGGGCCCAGACCCCUGCGCCGUAGGAUUUAGACCGGCGUGCUGACCUCUCUAUUGUGCCUAGGUGGGGCUGCGACGUGUUGAUCUUCUGAGGCCGGGCAUGACCCAGGAAAGUGUGUCCGGCCAAAUGGGAUCAAGCGUGUUGGGUUAUGUGGUGCACCUCUGUAGGGAAGUUUAUCUAUUCGAAUAGCUGUGAUCUUCUAUAAUAGGACGACCUUGAGUUGCACCUUGACCUUAUGACAACUAGAAUCGGAUACUUAAUAAAACACACCCUUCCAAGUGCCAGAUGCAACCCGGUGAUCGCUCUCUAACAGGGCGACGAGGAGGGGAUCGCCGGGUAGGAUUAUGCUAUGCGAUGCUACUUGGUGAACUUACCAUCUACUCUCCUCUACAUGCUGCAAGAUGGAGGUGGCCUGAAGCGUAGUCUUCGACAGGAUUAGCUAUCCCCCUCUUAUUCUGGCAUUCUGCAGUUCAGUCCACCGAUAUGGCCCUUUACACAUAUACCCAUGCAUAUGUAGUGUAGCUCCUUGCUUGCGAGUACUUUGGAUGAGUACUCACGGUUGCUUUUCUCCCUCUUUUCCCCCUUUCCCUUCUACCUGGUUGUCGCAACCAGAUGCCGGAGCCCAGGAGCCAGACGCCACCAUCGACGACGACUCCUACUACAUCGGAGGUGCCUACUACUACAUGUAGCCCGCUGACGACGACCAGGAGUAGUUAGGAGGAUCCCAGGCAGGAGGCCUGCGCCUCUUUCGAUCUGUAUCCCAGUUUGUGCUAGCCUUCUUAAGGCAAACUUGUUUAACUUAUGUCUGUACUCAGAUAUUGUUGCUUCCGCAGACUCGUCUAUGACCGAGCACUUGUAUUCGAGCCCUCGAGGCCCCUGGCUUGUAUUAUGAUGCUUGUAUGACUUAUUUUAUUUUUAGAGUUGUGUUGUGAUAUCUUCCCGUGAGUCCCUGAUCUUGAUCGUACACGUUUGCGUGUAUGAUUAGUGUACAUUCAAAUCAGGGGCGUCACAGACGAGCAACAGGAGGGACAGCCCGGCCCCAAGCGCCAGAAGGGCGGCAAGAUUGCUUGGUUGCUCGCCUUCUCCUACGAGGAAACCCUUGACGCACCCUACAAGUUCCACAGCGGCGCGAAACCAUCCAACCGCACCACUCGGAAGUGCCACUGGCUCACUCGCAUUGCCAAGGGCAAAGGCCUACCUCCUCCUCUUGCUGGCCCGCCGGCUCCGCCUCCUCAGCAGCCGGCGGUCCUUCCAGUCGGCGCAGUUCAAGAUGAGUUCCUUGAAGAGCAUGGAGCCUACAUCGUCUUCACCAGUGUGGCCAUGACAAGCACAGUCGACAGCAGCAGCAUCGUGAGGUGAAUGCUGUCGCAUCAGAGGUCCCCCAGCUCAUGCAUUGGUCCGAGAAGCCCAUCACCUGGAGCCGUGCCGAUCACCCGGCCGUAAUACCAUCACCGGGUUCCUAUGCAAUGGUGCUGGAAUCAACCUUCGCAACUGAGAGAUGGGCGUCCCGUUUCUCCCGGAUUCUGAUAGACGGCGGUAGCAGCAUCAACAUCCUCUACAGCGACACCAUGGAGAAGUUGGGCAUCAAAGAGAAACAGCUGCAGCACAGCCGGAUUGUCUUCCACGGCAUUGUGCCCGGCCUGUCCUGCUCUCCAAUCGGCAAGAUCAAGAUAGAUGUUCUGUUCGGAGACAAAGAUCACUUCCGCCGCGAGCCGAUCUGGUUCGAGGUGGUUGACCUGGAAAGCCCCUACAACGCGCUCCUGGACUGGCUAGCUCUCGCCAAGUUCAUGGCGGUGCCCCAUUAUGCCUACCUCAAGAUGAAGAUGUCGGGUCCCAAGGGGAUCAUCACCAUUGCGGGCGACUACAAGAAGUCGGUCGCAUGUGCCACCGCCAGCAGCUUGCUGGCCGAGUCCCUUGUCAUUGCUGAAGAGAAGCGACUCCUUGACCGGGUUGUGGCCAUGGCCAGCAAGCAGCCGGACCUGUCGCCAGACCCCAAGGAGUCGGAGACCCAGGGCUCCUUCCAGCCGGCCAAAGAGACCAAGAAGAUCCCCUUGGACCCGGAACACACGGAGAUAUUCGCUGUCGUAGGGGCCCACCUUGACAGCAAAUAGGAAAGCGAGCUCGUCGAUUUCCUCUGUGAGAAUCGGGACAUCUUCGCAUGGUCUCCCAAGGACAUGCCAGGUGUUCCGACGGAUUUCGCCGAGCACAAGCUACAUGUCAGGCCGGAUGCAAAGCCGGUCAAGCAACCCCUACGCCGCCUAUCAGAAAAGAAGAUAAGAAUUUUUGGUGAAGAGAUAGCCCGGCUUCUGGCAGCCGGCUUUAUCAUGGAAGUGUUUUUCCCACAGUGGCUCGCCAACCCAAUCCUUGUACUGAAGAAGAAGAACAAGUGGCGCAUGUGUAUCGACUACACCAGCCUCAACAAAGCCUGCCCUAAAGACCCGUUUGCUCUGCCUCAGAUAGAUCAAGUGAUAGACUCCACAGCCGGAUGCGAGCUGCUGUCUUUCCUUGAUGCCUACUCUGGCUACCACCAGAUCAAGCUCAACCCGGCCGAUCGGCUGAAGACCGCCUUCAUCACACCAUUCGGAGCCUUCUGCUACCUGACCAUGACAUUCGGCUUGAGAAACGCCGGUGCCACGUUUCAGCGUUGCAUGCAGAAGUGCCUCCUCAAGCAACUCGGCAGGAAUGCCCACGUCUAUGUAGACGAUAUUGUGGUGAAGACGGAGAAGUGAGGCUCCCUCCUGGAGGAUCUCAAGGAGACCUUUGACAACCUGCGCCGUUUUCAAAUCAAGCUUAACCCAGAAAAGUGUGUCUUCGGAGUCCCAGCUAGACAGGUCCUUGGUUUCCUUGUCUCAGAACGCGGCAUCGAGUGCAACCCUGUGAAGAUCAAAGCCAUUGAGCGGAUGGAGGGACCCACCCGGCUACGAGACGUCCAGAAGUUCACCGGGUGCUUGGCAUCCCUCAGCCGUUUCAUUAGUCGGCUGGGCGAGAAGGCUCUCCCCCUGUAUCGGCUAAUGAAGAAAACCACUCACUUCGAGUGGAACGACAAGGCGGACGAGGCCUUCCUCCAGCUCAAGAACAUGCUGACCAUGCCGCCUGUCCUGGCGGCACCGGCUGCUAAGGAGCCCAUGCUCCUAUACAUCGCCGCCACCAGCCGGGUGGUCAGCACUGUGAUCGUGGUCGAGCGCCCAGAAGAUGGCAAGGCACAGCCGGUCUAGAGGCCCGUCUACUACCAGAGCGAGGUGCUGUCGGCCUCCAAGCAGAACUACCCCCACUACCAGAAGAUGUGCUAUGGCGUGUACUUCGCCGCCAAGAAGCUCAAGCAAUACUUUCAAGAGCACUCCAUCACGGUCGUCUGCACUGCCCCACUUGCCGAGAUAAUAGGGAACAGAGAUGCAUCAGGCCGGGUGGCGAAGUGGGCCAUCGAGCUAGCCCCCCACACCAUCCUCUACCAGCCCCACACUACCAUCAAGUCCCGAGUGCUGGCCGACUUCCUCGUCAACUGGGCCGAGACCCAGUACCUGCAAGCCAGCGCCGGACUCUACCCAUUGGUGGAUGCACUUUGAUGGCUCGAAGAUGCGCACCGGUUUGGGGGCCUGCGUUGUCCUCACCUCUCCCAAAGGCGACAAGCUCAAGUACACACUGCAGAUUCAAUUUGCCGCCUCCAACAACGUGGCCGAGUAUGAGGCACUCGUCCACGGGCUCCGACUGGCCAAAGAGAUUGGCAUCCGCCGAGUGCUGUGCUAUGGCGAUUCAGAUUUGGUGGUCCAGCAGUCGUCCGGCGACUGGGACACCAAGGAUGCAAGCAUGGCGAGCUACCGCUUCCUCGUCCAGCAGAUCAGGGGAUACUUUGACGGGUGCGAGUUCCUCCAUGUACCAUGGGCCGACAACAAGCAAGCUGAUGCCCUGGCACGGAUUGGCUCCAGACGUCAAGCAAUACCAGCCGGUGUCUCCCUUCAGUGCCUGCGCAAGCCGUCUAUCAAGCCUUCGCCAGAAUCAGAGUCCAUCUUCGUGCCGGCUAUCCCCGGAACAGUCGGAUCUAGCUUAGGGACCGCAGCAGUCGGCCCGGGGACUUCAGCAGGCGACUCGGGGACUGCAACAGUCGCACCCAGCCCGGGGACUUCAGAACUAGGCCCGAGGGCUCCAGCAGGCGACCCAGGGACUUCGGCAGGCGACUCGGGGACUGCAUCAGUCGCACCCGGCCCAGGGACUUCAAAACCCAGCCCGGGGGCUGUAGCAGCUGGCCCGAGGACUUCAACGACACAGCAAGCGGCGGCCGACUCCAACCCGCCACCUCCCAGCCCAACUGCCUUGGUACUAGUGGCCGUGAUGACAGUGGUAGAAGCACCAUCGUGGGCGCAGCCCAUCCUCAAAUUCCUGGUGAGCAGAGAGCGACCAGCCAACGAGAUUUUGGCCCGGCAAGUGCAAAGCCGGGCAUCAGCAUACACAAUAGUGAACAGAGAGCUCAUCAGGCGGAGUGUGACUAGCGUCUUUCAGCGCUACGUAGAGCCGGAAAAGGGCAAAGCAAUCCUCAGAGAUAUUCACCAAGGUGAGUUCAGCCACCUCGCGGCCUCCAGAUCCCUUGUCGCCAAAGCAUUCCGCCACGGAUUCCUCUAGCCGACUGCUUUGGAUGACGCCAAGGACUUGGUCAAGAAGUGCAAUGGGUGCCAACGCUUCAGCUCUAAGCAACACCUGCCGGCUUCUGCACUCAAGACCGCCCCUCACCUUCCCAUUUGCCAACUGGGGGCUGGACAUGGUGGGCCCGUUCAAGACAGCACGCGACGAUUUGACCCAUCUAUUGGUUGUCGUGGACAAAUUCACCAAAUGGAUUGAAGCAAAGCCUAUCAAGAAACUCAAUGGUCCAACUGUCGUGACCUUCAUCACAGAUAUAACCGUCCGGUAUGGCGUACCGCACAUCAUCAUCACCGACAAUGGCAGAAACUUCGCCAAAGGCGCCUUGGCCCGUUUCUGCGUGACGCAGGGCAUCCGGCUCAACUUAGCGUCUGUUGCCCAUCCAAAGUCAAAUGGCCAAGUCGAGCGAGCAAACGGCCUCAUCCUCUCCGGCAUCAAGCCCCGACUGGUCGAGCCGCUGGAGCACUCGGCCGGCUGCUGGAUCGAAGAGCUACCAGCCGUGCUUUAGAGCCUUCGGACUACGCCGAACAAAGCAACAGGCUUCACUCCCUUCUUCCUUGUGUACGGGGCCGAGGCCGUCAUCCCAACUGACAUCGAGUUUGAAUCACCUCGUGUCACCAUGUACACGAAGGCAGAGGUGAAGGAGGCGCGAGAAGACGACGUCAACCUGCUGGAAGAGGCCCAGCUGUUGGCACUCAGCCGGUCCGCCAUCUACCAGCAGGGCCUGCGCCGCUACCACAGUUGGAAGGUCAAGCCACGAUCCUUCCAUGAGGGAGACCUUGUGCUCCGGCUGAUCCAGCGAACAUCCGGCCAGCACAAGCUCUCGGCCCCUUGGGAACGACCUUUCGUCAUCAGCAAAGCCCUGGGCAAUGACUCCUACUACCUCAUCGACGCGCAGAAGCCCAGGGCACGCAAGAGGGACGACUUCGGCAAGGAAACAGAGCGCCCAUGGAACACAAACCUCAUUCGAAGAUUUUACAGUUAAUACAAUAUGUAUCACGCUACCUUUUGUGUUAUGCAAAGAAAAUGGGUCCCUCGAGGAGAACUCGGGGACUACCCUUUUAUCUAUAUGGUAAGAUUAUGCCUGUAAAUGUGUUAUUCCAUUUCAGCACCCGGCACCGGGUCCGACCAGUCGGCCCGGGGGCUCGCCACCUUGUCCUAUGUUGAUGCCACCAGCAGUCGGACAAGUGGUGUGCUGAAAUCUAGGCUCUCUCUCACCUUAAGCCACAGCUCGCAGAGCGACUGUCCGGCUGGCAAGAGCUUAAGGCAGGAAGCGGUGUGCACAUGAAAAAAGGCUAAGGAAAAAACAUCAGCAUAGGCCAAGCCGGCUCCUCACCUCACCGUACGGCUGCUGAGCAGCCGACCGACCGACUUCUCACUUGACUCGCUACAUUCUAAGCGGCUGAAGUACUUGUCUAUCCUAAAAACGGCCAAGUCCCUGACCCAGCCACAGACCGCAGAGCGGCUAUCCGGAUGGCAGGGCAGCAGCCAAGGGAAGGCGGCAAAGGAAAAAGCCAAAAAGAACAGAAAGGCAAAAUCAAGUUAGAAACCACAGAGCACAAACUUGUGCGAGAAUAAAUUAAUUUACAUAGCAAAGGCUCAUAGCCACCUUUCAACAUAGUCUGAAAGUACCCCCCAGUGGGUGGAAUUGUGCGAAUUUAACUUGUUCGAUUCAAGAGAUUACAAAACAGGAAAGAUAAAGUGGCCGCCUAGGCCAGAGGAGCAGUAGGGGGAGUCGAUAGGUCGGCGGAGGCAGAGGUGCCGGUUGGUGGAGCGGCCGACUGGUGGGACUCGGCCUGGUCGGCGCUGGCAACAGUCGGCACGGCAUCUCGCGGGCCGCUGGUAGAGGCUCGAUCAGGCUGAGGACGGCUGUCUGCUCCGUCGUCCGGUACGAUGUCUUCGCCGUCCUCGUCCUCUUCAUCGUCACCCUCGUCGCUGGAGGCGAUUUCCUCUGCCGAGUCCUCCUCAUCCUCCGGGGUCACCCUGAACCAGUUGGGCGGCACCUCAGCGCCCUCCUCGUCCAGCUCGGGGAUGAAGACGGUGGUGUUGGCAUACUCGGCGAUUGCCGCUGAGGCUGGGUGAGCGCGCGGUCCACUGCUGCCAGCUCCGGUCUGGCGUCCUGACGGAAGGUGGCCAGCUGGGCCAGAUUCAGCCUCGGAUACCAAGCCUUGGCGAACUGCAAGGCUGUCCGAGCGCCCGCCCGUGCCGCGGUGACCUUCCAGGCCUCGAAGCACCCGGCUGCUACCUCCAACCAGUUGGUAGUCUGAUUGGGGGUGCACGGGACCUGGGCGUCUGGCCAGAGGGCGGCAAGCACCUGAGACCCGGCACGCUGCAGGCGGCGAAUCAGACGGCGGGCCGGGUCCACGCGCGUCUUGAUGGCCAGGAGUUGCUCGCCAAGGUUCCGGGGCGCGUUUGGCGGAAUGUCGGCGCCCGUCUUCCUCCGCUGAUCGCACCGCGCCUCGAUGGCCUAGCUGACGGCGACAGACUGACCCGGAAAAAAAUAUGCUCAAGAAGAGGAGGUAAGAAGUUAGAAGCCAGAAGCCGGCCUGCGCGGCAGUCGGUGGCCGAACAAAGGAAGAUAUGAUUUACCCUUGAUCAUGUCGUCAAUCUCGUCGUAGGCAUCCGUCAGGAACUUCUCCUUCUCGACCCAGUUCGAGCGUCGAGUCUCGAACUUGGCCCUGAGGAGGCAUUCGCCUUCAUUCAGCUUCUGGAGCUCCGCCUUGUGCCGCUCUGCCUGGUCUGCCGGCUCCUUGGCCAGACGGCCGCACUCGUGAGCCGCCUGGCUGCGCUCUUCUCCCUGGUGUGGAGCGUGGAUUCAGCCUCGCCCAGGCGCUUCCGCAGAUCUGCGGCGGCCCCUGCAAAGACAAGAAAGAAAAUGUCAACACAAACCAAAGACAAGGAGUCGUCGGGAGAUCCGGCCCGACUACUCAGCAGUCAGCCCGAAUCUCGGGGGCGACACCCAGCUGGUGCGCUGAUGCGCCCCGCGAGAAAGAAGAAUGGAGUGCUUACUCUAGCUCUGAUUCAGGUCGCCGGUCCGCUUGGCCAGCUCCUAAUGCUGGGAGUUGUAGGCGGCCAUGCGGAGGUUGUGGUAAUCCUUUAACGAAGACAAUAGAAGAAAAAACAAGUCAGCACUCGGAGCUUACCAUAAAAUUCCGAGCCGCCUGCUCAGGAGCCGACCCGGAACUCGGGGACUACACACAGAGGGUGCGCUGGCGCGCCCCCAUGGAAGAUUGCAAAAAUUGAAAAACAAGAAGCAAGUAACGUACCCGGACGGCUGCCCGCGUUGCCAAGAAAUCCGGCAUUUGUUGCUGGAGGGAGGCACCUUGGGUGUUGAACUGGGCCAAGACGUCCUGCACGACCACGUUUAAGACACCCGUGCCGCCCCAGUCGUCCUAUCCAGUGGGGCAGCGCUGGUGGUCUCGGUGACGGGCGCCACCGAGCUAGCGGCCCCGGUCUCCAUCGGCCUUGGCACCGAGAUCGCCUUUGCCGGGCGCUGGCGCGCCGGAGCGCGGGGAGUCGGACCCACCACCAACUCACCGCCAGAUGGCGGCACCGGAGGCACUUUAGGCCGGCUGUACUACGCGUCGGCAAUUAGCGUGCGCAGAGGCACCUCCGCCUCCAAGAUGACGGGGUCCGCCUCCCUCCUCUCCAAGGCUGGUUGGUCAGCACCAGUCCCUCCAGUCGGCGCCUGGCCCUCCGGCACCAACGGCUCCGCGUGCUGCGGUCCGGUGGCUUCCGGAGCCCUGCUGCGGGACACCUCCUCCUCCUGCGCCUUGGCGGCCGCGUUCGCCCGCUCCUGGGCUGCCGCGUCGGCUUGCGCCUUGGCCGCCUCGUUGGCCCUUUCGCCGCGUCGGCCUCCUUCGCCUCCACUCGAGCCGCAGCGUCCCGCUCCUGCUGCACCUCCAGCGGGUUCCUCUUCGUCGCCUCCUGAAGGGCGGCGAUCGGGUCCACGCGACGCGUAUUGGCGGAGCCGUCUGCCACCCCAACUACCGAGCCCGAUGGGGCUCGCGACAAGGAAAGCGGGGCCCUCCUCGGCGAUGCAAGAAAAACUAAGAAGGAGUUUGCGAGAAAGGAAGAAAAGCAAACGCGAGAAAAGACAAAGAUACUUACGCAGAUACCAUCGGGCGCUGCUUCGGGCCCUUCUGGAAGAGGGCCGCCUUCGCGGAAGCCUCUUGCCGUUUGGUCGCGGCGGCCGAGGUCUUGACCUUCUUGGGCCGGCUGCCGAACAACCCGGCGUCGGCCCGGCGCUUCGGCGCGCCGGCUGCUGCAGUCGGCGCGGCUGAGGAGCAGGCGCCCGCCCUGUCGGCACCAAGGGCGCGGCGCAGCUCAUCGUCCUCGUCCUUGUCGUCCGGCCACUCCCCGGGGCCACCUUCUGAGGAGCCGCCUGCUAUCUCACCGCCAUCACCUGUGGCGUCGUCCUCCUCCAUGGCAGCCGCCCCCAACUCGGGGUCGUCUGCAUUGCUUUCCAUGCGGUCCGCCAUAUACUGAUGGCCUGGGACUAGCGCACCGUCUGCCGUCUGGCCCGGGAAGCGCUGCAUCGUGGCCGGGUGGUCAGGAGGCAAGAAGAAACUGAGCUAGCAAAGAAAGGAGAACCAGAAGACUUACCGCAGGUGGCGGAUUUGCGCGGCUGUACGGCUCCUUGACGAACCACCACUCUGUCUCCGACAGCUUGCAGUCAGAGAAGAAGUUCACCAGUCGAACCAUCUACACAUCCGGCAGCACCUUGGUGCACAUCCAGCACGGGUCGCAGCGCCCGCUCAUGUUGCUGAUGAUGUGGGGCCAAGCUUGAAUGGGUAGCACCCGACGCUCCACAAAGGCGGCCAGCAAAUCAGAGGCCCUGAGGCCCUCCAACUCCGUCAUCUCCUGGAGCCGCGCGAGAGCGGCGGAAGAGGCGGCCGACAGGUUCUUCGGCCGGAAUUUCUAGUUGGCGCGGGGCUCGUAGUCCAUCGUCGAGUGGAUGUUCUCGAUGUAGAAGUAUGACUUCUGCCACAGCUUGGCUGACUGCAACAAGGCAAGGUCCGGGAAGCGGACCCCCAGAACCCGAACACCGUACCGCAACGCAGGCCCCAGACUGGGCCGCCUCGUCCUUGGCGGCGGUGCCCAAUUUGAGAUAGAAGAGCUCCCCCCAUAGCUCGAGGGUGGGGAGCACGCAAACAUAUCCCUCGCAGAGGGUGACAAAUGAGGAGAGCAGCACCACCGUGUUCGGCGUGAGAUGGUGGGGCUGCACUUUGUAGAAGGUGAGGAACGAGCGGAGGAAUCCGCUCGCCGGCAGGCCAAAGCCGCGGAGGAAGUGUGACCGGAAGACGACGCGUUCGCCAUCCGCCGGCACCGGCGAGAUCUCCGCCUCAGGAGGAACGCGCACCUUUACAUGCGACACGCGGGGCAGCCGCCGUGUCUGGCGAAGGAACGCGAGGUGAUCCUCGUGGACGUUGGAACCGUCCCAAUCGCCGUAGCGCCCGCCGCACGCCAUGGAUGCAGUUGCUCGACAGUGGCGCAGCGCGGUGGCGAGCGAGCUGUGCCGCAGCGGGUCAGAGAGGCCCUGCGACGGUAGCUACAGAGGAGCUCCGGCGGCAAGCAGGGGCGCGGCAGCAACAAGAAGAAACAGAGGAAGAAGAAGACGUAGGGCGACGGGGCGUGCGUGUGUUCUGCCGCCCCCUCCUCCCCGUACUUAUAGCCCCCCGGCGGUAGAGCCGAGGGGGCGAGACAUGGGGGGGGCGAGAUUAACUGCGCCCACUCCCCCCAUGACCCCGCAUCUACCGCGCCAUAACAACAUGUAUUUAACGCACCUGGGAAGCGCAACCACCCGCUUCGGCCGCAGUGGAUCUGCCGCAUGUCGAGGCCCUGUAGUGGUGGGCCAGGGCCUACGGCGACGUCCCAUCGCUCGCGUGGGCUGGCAGGCCGGCCAGGCCUGCUGACGCCGCGUGGUGGACGAGCAACGGGCGGCAAAGCCCACCACCCAGAUGGCUCGCCACCCGGCCCCCACCAAGACGAUUCGAAUUCACCAGGCGGCUGGCCUGGCCAGGGCCGGCUCCUAACAGCCGGUAUCUCCAGAAGGCGGAUGCAGCAAAAUUACCAGAUCACUCUGAGUAGGAAGCUGCUGAGGCUCCUCGAUUUUUAGCCGCGGUGCCCCACCAGCUUCGGGGACUACUGUCGGAGUAAAUGACCACGGGUAGCCUCAUCGGCCCCCCAUGGUAUUUCAAGACAUCGGGCCUAGCAGCGCCCCUCACACCUCCCGGAAGCACGAUUGGCUUUUUGGGCCGGCUGGUCGAAGAGGCCGGCUGCUAGCAGGCGGCAAGACCACAGAAAACGGCCGCAAAGGGGCCGACUCCUAGCAGGCGGCCCCUCAACCCUCAAAGUUUGCGCCCCAUUGCCACGACGAGACCGGGCGUGGCUAUAGUGCAACCUGCCGCCCGCGAAUCCAGGGCGGAUCAUGGCUACAGUGCGGUGUAGCAGGCGGACACUCCUCGCCCGGCGCGACACUGUAGCCAUGCGGCCUGUGACAUCACCUACGCCAGAGGAAGCCAUGCUCCCACGACGGGCGGUCCGUACGGCCCGUUGGCGGCGGGCCCUACCUGUCCACGAGCCACCAGAAGGCGGCGAACCCCCAGCAGGCGGCAACAAGGGUGGGCCGACUCCUAGCAGGCGACCCUUCUCUCCCUUGGAGUCUGCGCGCCAUUAACCAGAUGAGACGGGGAGUGGCUACAAUGAGCGCCCGCCAGGCGGCGGGACUGUAGCCAUGCCCCCCCCGACAAAGCCUUCGUCCUCAGGGGCGAGGCUACAGUACAAAGCAGUCAACAUGGCCCUACCUGUCAGCCAAGAUAACGGCAGCCGGUGGGACCCACCAGGCGACGGGCCCCUGCAGCCGGCGGAGAAGCCGGCGACCAGAGACACUGACGGCUGGGUCCUACACCAGGCCGGAUUACCAUUGUACCCCUGGGGGUAGGCCUAUAUAAACCCCCCAGGCUUCCCCAUGCAAGGGGUUCGCGGAAGGACAGGCAAUCCGGGCACGCAGAGCCGGCGCGGGACAGCUGCGGGAGGCGGCCGAAGCCGGUGAGCAGGGAGCCAGCACGCGCACGGGUCGCGGAGCCGACUCGCGGGACAGAGCAGGGCGCGAUGCGCCGGAGAGGCGUCCAGGCUUGCAGGCAGUCGGACCCGAACCUGGCAGUGGCCGCGAGCUGGACGGGCGGGAUGGGGCCGCGGCGAGAGCGGAAGCCGGCCACCGCGGCGGCAACCGACGGGGGUGGGGAGGCAUGCGAGGGGAGCAGAGGCACAACGCGCUGUGGGGAUCGGGAGGGAGAGCUCACACGCAGGGCCUGCAUGUGCCGAGGCAGCGGCCUCCAGAGGAGCCUCGCGGGCAGUGCAGGGGCGCAGCGCAGCUGGGGCGGUGCUGGACGGCACCGGCGGAGCAGCGCGCAGGGGCGGGCAGUGCGGCGGAGCAGACGUGGAACACGGGCGAGCAGAGGAGGACGCGCGCGAGGCUGCCCACCUGCGUGAACAAGGGCCAAGGUAGCUAGCUUGCUAGCUUAGCAAGGCCAAUCGAAAGGUAGCUAGCUAGCUUGGGCAUGAGUGUGUAUCUGGCUUGCUUGCUAGCGGAUGGUGGAGCUCGACGCAGCGUGGAGGGGAGCGGAUGCGAGCGAUGCGCGGAUGGACACGGCCGACCGAAGCGACGCGGCACGGCAUGGCGCGCGCAUGGACGAACGGCCGGUGUCGCAGCGGUGGUGACAAAGAGGCCGAGGCCGACGAUGAGGACGCGCCGUUUCGCGCGGUCGCUCCAUGGACGGGGCGAUGUCGAUCCCCCGAGCGCUACCGGAGAGAUGGCGCGAUGUCGCGGCGGAGAUAACAAAGAUGGCGAGGCCGAUGAAAAGGGCGUGUCGCCCCAUGCAGUCGCCCCGAGGGCGCAUUGGUCGAGCCCCCCAGCGCUACGGGAGAGACGACGGCGACGCCACGGUGAUGAUGACGAAAAGGGGUCCCGCCCGGACCACGAUUCCAGCGGCAGCUUGCCCCACGGUGUGUGCCAAAUGUGGGGGAUAUCUAGCGACAUAUGCCAAGGGAUGGCUUAUCAUGGAGGGGGUCAAGAGUACGUCGCCGGGCUCUAGCAGCGGGAGUGAGUGAGAUCGCAUACGCCUACGAAUCUUACACAGGAUCGGGGCUCUCCGUGGAGAUAACACCCCUAGUCCUGCUCUGCGGGGUCUCCGCAUGAUCAGUAUGGUCAAUAGCGUAGUUACAAGAUGGCUCCUUGAGCUAUUCGGCUAGAGGAGGAAGAAGGGCAAGGCUAGCUCUACUCCUCUCUCUAUGUGGAUGUGUAUGAUCUCUAAGGUUGUGAACCCCUUGCAUGGGGAAGCCUGGGGGGUUUAUAUAGGCCUACCCCCAGGGGUACAAUGGUAAUCCGGCCGGGUGUAGGACCCAGCCGUCAGUGUUUCCGGUCACCGGCUUCUCUGCCGGCUGCUGGGGCCCGCCACCUGGUGGGUCCCGCCGGCUGCCGUUAUCUCGGCGGACAUGUAGGGCCCGCCGCCUGCGGUCCAUGUUGACUGCUAUGUACUGUAGCCUCGCCCCUGAUGACGAAGGCUUUGUCGGGGGGAGCGUGGCUACAGUCCCGCCGCCUGGCGGGCGCUCACUAUAGCCACUCCCCGUCUCAUAUGGUUAAUGGAGCGCAUACUCCAAGGGAGAGAAGGGCCGCCUGCUAGGAGUCGGCCCACCCUUGUUGACGCCUGCUGGGGGUUCGCCGCCUUCUGGUGGCUCGCGGACAGGUAGGGCCCGCCGCCUGCGGGCCGUACUGACCGCCCGUCGUGGGAGCAUGGCUCCCUCUGGCAUAGGUGAUGUCACGGGCCGCAUGGCUACAGUGUCGCGCCGGGCGAGGGGUGUCCGCCUGGUACACCGCACUGUGGCCACGAUCUCCCUGGAUUCGGAGGCGGCAGGUUGCACUGUAGCCACGCCCGGUCUCGUCGUGGUAAUUGGGCGCAAACUUUGAGGGGACGAGGGGCCCCCUACUAGGAGUAGGCCCCUUCGGGGCCGUGUUCUGUGGUCUUGCUGCCUGCUAGCAGCUGGCCUCUUGGACCAGCCGGCCCAAGAAGCCAAUCGUGCUUUCGGGAGGUGUGAGGGGCGCUGCUAGCCCCGAUGUCUUGAAAUACCAUGGGGGGCUGAUGAGACUACCCAUGGUCAUUUACUCCGACAUUGACUGACCCAAGCUUGUGAGUUUCCAAAUCAUCAUCAGAAUGAGCUUGUACAUAUUUGCCAUUUUGUUGUGGUCCAUCCUGGGCUUCCCAUAUACAUCAACAUCAUCUUGAUCUUCUUCAGGGGCAUUCAGAAGAGCAGCCCACUUAGAGAUUGAUGACUGGCACCUUUUACCCUCAGUCAUCCAUCUGAUCCUCCCAUCUGGAUAGAGGUGUGCCAUGGAGUAAAACUGCAUGAUCAUCUCAUCAUUCCACUUUGUAAGCUUCUGACCAACAAAUGCAUCUACUCCCGCAAGACUGAAGCUCUCAUGAACGUGGCGGAAGUAGUCUUCAUUUGCAUCGAUGUACUUCCAGUCCACCCACUUCAUGUCACUGACAAUGGGCUUCUUAUCAAGUAGCACUGGCUCAUAGGCUGUCCUCCUCCUCAUAGAAUAUGGAUCCACUUUCCUCCAUUCUCUCAGACCCUUGUCCUUCCUGAGCAUCAUGUUCUCUACAACUGGAUGAGCAUCAUCAUGAUCUGGAAUCUUGGGCUUCAAUUUUCUAAGACUUAGUGGCUCAUCAUCAUCUUGAACUUCAUGCAUUGGGGCCUUGUUCUUCUCAGCAGCUGGAAUGUUUCUAGUUGACCUCUUGAGAGGCAUGCUAGAUGUGUUAUUCUCAAGAUGAGUGUCUAUUCACUUGUCAUUGCACGAGAGUACGACAGUAAUAGGGAUGCCCAGUCCCGAAAUGAAAAAGAAAUUUACUUUAUGUUAUCAAAUAAUAAAUUCCUUCGAAAGUGUUGGUAUGGAAGGCGACCGUGGAUACGGCUAGCCCUGGAUUGCGAAAGAAUGGUGGAAAAAGGAAUAAACUUUAUUUUAUGUUUGGGAACUGCCUAUGAUAUAUCUAGCAUGGAAAGUAUUGGGAACUAAUCAGUCGUUUUCGUUGACAGGAAAAACAUGUCUCUCAAAAAAAUGUAUCUCUCAAUUUUUUCUUUGAGCUCUCGCACCUCUUCAAAUCUCUGCUUCCCUCUGCGAAGGGCCUAUCUAUUUACUUUAUGAAAUUCUUAUGUUUAUUUGAGUCUCCAUUUUCUCUUAUAAAGCACCAACUAGGGAGCACUAUGAUCAUACUUGUGCAUUGGAUGUAGCUAAUAUUCGAGUGUGUUUCAUGAAUGGAUCUAUGAUUGAGCAUGACGGGCUUGGGAUAACUUUCUUUAGUGUGGAUAUUUUGAAAGACAUGGUUGCUUGUUUAUAUGCUUGAGUAUUGAAGUCUUCAUGUGAAAUAUAGACAAUUGCUUUGAACCAUCUAAAAGACCAAAUGUCCAUGCUACAAAGGAAAAGAAUAUGUGAUGAACAUGCUAGGCAACAUUCCACAUCAAAAAUUCUGUUUUUAUCAUUUACCAACUCGAGGACGAGCAGGAAUUAAGCUUGGGGAUGUUGAUACGUCUCCAACAUAUCUAUAAUUUUUUAUUGUUCGGUAAGCACGAAGGGAAAUUAAACAAUGUAUGGGAUAAAGAGUUACUCUCUGAUACGUCUCCAACGUAUCUAUAAUUUUUGAUUGUUCCAUGCUAUUAUAUUAUCAUUCUGGGAUGUUUUGAAAUCAUUUUAUAGAAACUUUAUAUCAUCUUUUGGCACUAACCUAUUGACAUAGUGCCCAGUGCCAAUUGCUUUUUUUGCAUAUUUUUUUACUUCGCAGAAUAUCAGUACCAAACACAGCGAAACUUUUUGGAGUUUUUAUUUGGACCAUAAGACAACUUGGGAGCCAAGGAAGCACCAGAGGGGAAGCAUGUGGGGCCCACAAGACACCAGGGCGCGCCAGAGGCCCAUGGUGUGCCCUGAUGGGUUGUGGGGCCCAUGGGGGUCUCCUCCACCGCCUCUCAGCUCUAUAAAUACCCAAAUAUUCCAGAAACCAUAGGGGAGCAAUAAAAACAUAAUUCCAGCCGCCGCAAGUUCCAGAACCACGAGACCCAAUCUAGAGCCCUAUUCCGGCACACUACCGGAGGGGAACACGAUCACGGAGGGGUUCAUCAUCCUCAUUGGUGCUCCUCCGAUGAUGCGUGGGUAGUUCACCAUAGACCUAUAGGUCCGUAGGCAGUAGCUAGAUGGCUUCUACUCUCUUUUUAAUUCUCAAUACAAUGUUCUCCUAGUUGUUCUUGGAGAUCUAUUUGAUGUAAUGACUUUUUGCGGUGUGCUUGUUGGGAUCCGAUGAAGUUUGAGUUUAUGAUCAGAUCUAUAUCCAUGAAUAUUAUUUGAGUUUUCUUUGAUCUCUUAUUUGCAUGAUUAUUUAUAGUCUCGGUUUAUUUAGAUCUCUGUUCUCCUUAAUGGGAAGAUGUGCUUUGUGAUGGGUUUGAUCUUGCGGUGUCCUCACCCAGUGACAAAAGGGGUAGCAAGGCACAUAUGUAUCGUUGCUAUUAAGGAUAAAAAGAUGGGGUUAAUUCCUACAUGAAUAGAUCUUGUCUACAUCAUGUCAUCGUUCUUAUUGCAUUACUCCAUUUCUCCAUUAACUUAAUACACUAGAUGCAUGCUGGAUAGCGAUUGAUGUGAGGAAUAAUAGUAGUACAUUCGGAAUCAUUUCGGUCUACUAAUCUUGGACGUGAUGCCUAUAUACAUGAUCAUUGCCUUGGAUAUCGUCAUAAAUAUUUGUUCUUCUAUCAAUUGCCCAAUAGUAAUUUUUUUACCCACCGUAUGCUAUUUUCUCGAGAGAAGCCACUAGUGAAAUCUACGGCCCCCGGGUCUAUCUUUUAUCAUAUUGUUUUCAGAUCUAUAUUUCCAAAACCCAAAAAUACCUUGCUGCACUUUUUCUUUACUUGUUUUAUUUUGUGUUCUUGCUAGAUCUAUUUAUCCAAACUCAUACAAUUUAAUCAAUCUUUUCACCGUGGAGGGAUCGACAACCCCUCUUACGCGUCGGGUUGCAAGUAUUUGUUCUUCGUGUGCAGGUACCAUUUACUUGUGUUGCUUGGUUCUACUGGAUUGAUAACCUUGGUUUCAUAACUGAGGGAAUUACCUACCGUAGCUAUACUGCAUCAUCCCUUCCUCUUCGGGGAAAUAUCGACACAAUUUCAAGCUACAUCAAAAGUUUCUGGUGCCAUUGUCGGGGAGACAUCAUCGACAUCUAUCGAGUUAAUUGCACAGAAGUACCAUAAUUUGGGCAUUACAAGCAGAUUGGUACCAAUAUUGGUAAUUUUUAUGUGUCAAUACCAACUCUGGGGCGAGGCGUUGCAAAAGAGGCUAAAACGGUUGUUUAUACGUAUUGACAGCCGAACUUACCGCUUGGGCCCGUGCUACCUCUUGAGCACUGCGUUGGUUUUCCCUUGAAGAGGAAAGGGUGAUGCAGUAAAGCAGCGUAAGUAUUUCCCUCAGUUUUUGAGAACCAAGGUAUCAAUCCAGUAGGAGGCCACGCACGAGUCCCUCGCACCUACACAAACAAGUAAAAUCCUCGCAACCAACGCAAUAAAGGGGUUGUCAAUCCCUUCAUGGUCACUUACGAAAGUGAGAUCUGAUAGAUAUGAUAAGAUAAUAUUUUAGGUAUUUUUAUGAUAAGGAUGCAAAGUAAAGAAAGCAAAACAAACGGCGCCAGAAAUAACUUGUUGACGGGAGAUUAAUAUGAUGGAAAAUAGACCCCGGGGCCAUACGUUUCACUAGUGGCUUCUCUCGAGAGCAUAAGUAUUACUGUGGGUAAACAAAUUACUGUUGAGCAAUUGACAGAACUGAGCAUAGUUAUGAGAAUAUCUAGGUAUGAUCAUGUAUAUAGGCAUCACGUCCAUGACAAGUAGACCGACUCCUGCCUGCAUCUACUACUAUUACUCCACACAUCGACCGCUAUCCCGCAUGCAUCUAGAGUAUUAAGUUCAAAAGAACAGAGUAACGCUUUAAGUAAGAUGACAUGAUGUAGAGGGAUAAACUCAUGCAAUAUGAUAUAAACCCCAUCUUGUUAUCCUCGAUGGCAACAAUACAAUACGUGCCUUGCUGCCCCUACUGUCACUGGGAAAGGACACCGCAAGAUUGAACCCAAAGCUAAGCACUUCUCCCAUUGCAAGAAAGAUCAAUCUAGUAGGCCGAACCAAACUGAUAAUUCGAUGAGACUUGCAAAGAUAACCAAUCAUACAUAAAAGAAUUCAGAGAAGAUCCAAAUAUUGUUCAUAGAUAAACUUGAUCAUAAACCCACAAUUCAUCGGUCUCAACAAACACACCGCAAAAGAAGAUUACAUCGAAUAGAUCUCCACAAGAAUCGUGGAGAACUUUGUAUUGAGAUCCAAAGAGAGAGAAGAAGCCAUCUACCUAAUAACUAUGGACCCGAAGGUCUGAGGUAAACUACUCAAACAUCAUCGGAGAGGCUAUGGUGUUGAUGUAGAAGCCCUCCGUGAUCAAUGCCCCCUCCGACGGAGCGCUGGAAAAGGCCCCAAGAUGGGAUCUCACGGGUACAGAAGGUUGCGGCGGUGGAAUUAGGUUUUUGGCUCCGUAUCUGGUAGUUUGGGGGUACGUAGGUAUAUAUAGGAGGAAGAAGUAUGACGGUGGAGCAACGUGGGCCCCACGAGGGUGGAGGGCGCGCCCAGGGGGGUAGGCGCGCCCCCUACCUCGUGCCUUCCUGGUAGCUUUCUUGACGUAGGGUCCAAGUCCUCUGGAUCACGUUCGUUCCGAAAAUCACGUUCCCGAAGGUUUCAUUCCGUUUGGACUCCGUUUGAUAUUCUUUUUCUGCAAAACUCUGAAAUAGGCAAAAAAACAGCAAUUCUGGGCUGGGCCUCCGGUUAAUAGGUUUGUCCCAAAAAUAAUAUAAAAGUGUAUAAUAAAUCCCUAAUGUCCAAAACAGAAUAUAAUAUAACAUGGAACAAUAAAAAAUUAUAGAUACGUUGGAGACGUAUCAAGCAUCCCCAAGCUUAAUUCCUGCUCGUCCUCGAGUAGGUAAAUGAUAAAAACAGAAUUUUUCAUGUGGAAUGCUAGUUGGCAUAAUUUCAAUGUAAUUCUCUUAAUUGUGGUAUGAAUAUUCAGAUCCAAAAGAUUCAAGACAAAAGUUUAAUAUUGACAUAAAAAUAAUAAUACUUCAAGCAUACUAACUAAGCAAUUAUGUCUUCUCAAAAUAACAUGGCCAAAGAAAGUUAUCCCUACAAAACCAUAUAGUCUGGCUAUGCUCUAUCUUCACCACACAAAGUAUUUAAAUCAUGCACAACCCCGAUGACAAGCCAAGCAAUUGUUUCAUACUUUUGUUGUUCUCAAACUUUUUCAAUGUUCACGCAAUACAUGAGCGUGAGCCAUGGACAUAGCACUAUAUGUGGAAUAGAAUGGUGGUUGUGGAGAAGAUAGUCUCACAUCAACUAGGCGUAUCAACGGGCUAUGGAGAUGCCCAUUAAUAGAUAUCAAUGUGAGUGAGUAGGGAUUGCCAUGCAACGGAUGCACUAGAGCUAUAAGUAUAUGAAAGCUCAACAAAAGGAACUAAGUGGGUGUGCAUCCAACUCGCUUGCUCAUGAAGACCUAGGGCAUUUUGAGGAAGCCCAUCAUUGGAAUAUACAAGCCAAGUUCUAUAAUGAAAAUUUCCCACUAGUAUAUGAAAGUGAUAUCAUAGGAGACUCUCUAUCAUACAGAUCAUGGUGCUACUUUGAAGCACAAGUGUGGUAAAAGGAUAGUAACAUUGUCCCUUCUCUCUUUUUCUCUCUUUUUUUGGGCCUUUUCUCUUUUUUAUGGCCUUUCCCUUUUUUUAGUCCAGAGUCUCAUCCUGACUUCUGGGGGAAUCAUAGUCUCCAUCAUCCUUUCCUCACUUGGGACAAUGCUCUAAAAAAUGAUGAUCAUCACACAUUUAUUUACUUACAACUCAAUACUUAGAACACAAUAUGACUCUAUGUGAAUGCCUCCGGCGGUAUACCGGGGUAUGCAAUGAAUCAAGAGUGACAUGUAUGAAAGAAUUAUGAACGGUGGCUUUGCCACAAAUACAAUGUCAACUACAUGAUCAUGCAAAGCAAUAAGAUAAUGAUGGAGCAUGUCAUAAUAAACAGAACGGUGGUAAGUUGCAUGGCAAUAUAUCUCGGAAUGGCUAUGGAAAUGCCAUGGUAGAUAGGUAUGGUGGCUGUUUUGAGGAAGGUAUAUG
RNAcentral lists this long non-coding RNA (54484 nucleotides) under Triticum aestivum (bread wheat). Its description in RNAcentral is "long non-coding RNA (TAES_LNC013500)". Lineage: Eukaryota; Viridiplantae; Streptophyta; Magnoliopsida; Poales; Poaceae. The record is from RNAcentral.